This 48246-nucleotide long non-coding RNA is filed under the name Gossypium raimondii (Peruvian cotton). Its description in RNAcentral is "long non-coding RNA (GRAI_LNC003393)". The record is from RNAcentral. Lineage: Eukaryota; Viridiplantae; Streptophyta; Magnoliopsida; Malvales; Malvaceae.
ACAAACAUGAACACUCUUCAUUUCCUUAUUUCACUCUUCCUCUUCUCAUGCUUCCUUUCUCUUGUCUUGUCUUUUUCACCUCCUCAAACUCAUCUCCCUAAGCAAUGCCUUGAUGACCAGAGAGCUCCUCUCCUGCAAUUGCAGCAUCAUCUUUACUAUGCCCCUAAUUCUACUUUCUCUUCCAAUUUUGACCUCUGGGAUGUCAACACUGAUUGUUGUUCUUGGGAAGGAAUCACUUGUGAUGCUUAUGGUCAUGUCGUUGGCAUUGAUCUUAGUUACAAAAACCUUUCAGGCAGCUUUCACUCCAUAUUCGAUCUCCAUCAUCUUCAACACCUGAAUCUUGCUGGAAACAACUUUAAUACCACUCUGUUUUCGUAUGGGUUUGAUGAACUCCAAAAUCUAACUCAUCUCAACCUUUCAAGCUCAUGUUUCCAUGGCCAAAUUCCAGUGGAGAUCUCAUUCUUAAAAAGGUUAGUCUCUCUUGAUCUAUCCAAUCAAGGUUCUUGUUAUUUGAGAAAUGGUUACGAUUAUGAUUCAGCUACUUUAAAAUUGGAGAAACCAAACUUCAAGACAUUUAUCAAGAAUUUGAAGUUUCUCACGGAGCUUUAUUUGGAUGGUGUCGACAUUUCAACUCAAAGUACUAAAUGGUGUGAAACCACAUCUCUUGUACUUCCAAACAUGCAUGUGUUGAGUCUGUCAAGCUGUAGUUUGAAAGGUCCAUUAUGUUCUUCACUCUCAAGACUCUCCUUUCUUUCCAAACUUAUCCUUGAUGAAAACCCAACCUCUUAUUUACCUCCCAAUUUCUUGGUAAAUUCCUCUUGUUUGGUUUCUCUCAGUUUGAGGUAUUGCAAUUUGAAUGGGCAUUUUCCAACCGGAAUUCUCUUAUUGCCAAAAAUUCAAAGCAUUGACAUUUCAUUGAACCGCCAACUUAUGGGUCAGUUGCCAGAAUUUCCAGCAAACAAUGCAUUACUGAGUCUGUCACUUUAUGACACAAAUUUCAGUGGAAAACUACCUGAAUCGAUUGGUAAUCUUAAGUUCCUGACAAAUUUAGAUCUUUCUGGUUGCAAUUUUUUUGGACCCAUUCCAUCGUCAAUUGCAAAUCUUAGUCACCUGGUGAACCUAGAUCUAGGAGGGAACAAGCUUUCUGGAUCAAUACAUUCUUCUUUAUUUACUCUUCCAUCGUUGAAGAUCCUGUUUCUUGGAGACAAUCAAUUGGUUGGGAAAAUUGAUGAGUUCCCCAAUGCAUCUUCUUCUUUGAUUGAAGUACUGUAUAUAGGCAAUAAUUAUUUAAGAGGAGCAAUCCCAAAGUCAAUUCUUCAACUUCCAAGGCUUGAAUGGCUUUAUAUCGAAAGCAAUAGCUUUAGUUCCAUGAAGCUUGACAUGUCUGUCCAAGUCAACAACUUAAGGACUCUCUGGCUAAACUAUAUCAGCUUGUUAAUUGAAAGCGACAACAGAAGUCUUACUUUUCCCCAAUUAGAAAGCCUAAGCUUAAGGUCAUGCAACCUUACUGAAUUUCCAGAAUUCAUUAAAAGGCAAGACAAGUUGGUUUACUUAGAUCUUUCUAACAACCAUAUCCAUGGUUUUGUGCCCAAUUGGUUGUGGAAGAGCAGUCUUUCAUCCUUACACCUUAGACCUUUAUUUCAAUAUGAUUGAUUUUCCAAAACAAAUUCCUUUAAGUGAUGCAAACUUCUCUUUCCCAAUGUUGAGGCAAUUGAUUCUGGGAUAUUGUAACGUAAGUGCAUUUCCGGAGUUCUUAAAGAGUCAAGAAAAUUUAGAAUAUCUCAUACUUCCAAAUAACAAAAUAAGUGGUGCAAUACCAAACUGGGUGUGGAAGAAAAGUUUGCAUCAAUUGUCUCUUGCUAAUAACCAUCUCUUAUCUUUGGGCGAACUUUUACCCAAUCAGAGUUCAACUUUUUCACGAGGCUUUUUCUAUUUCGACGUAUCUUAUAACAAUUUGAGUGGCCCAAUUCCAAAUUGGUUAUGCAAUAUGAGUCAACUUCUCAGUUUCGAUGUAUUUUAUAACAAUUUGAGUGGCCCAAUUCCAAAUUGCUUGGGCGAUAUGAGUGCUCUGAGUUGGUUAGGUUUGCAAGGAAAUAACUUCAGUGGAAUGUUACCAAAAUUUUCAAAAGCAACCCAACUGCAAUUUCUGAAAGUUAGUGAGAAUAGAUUGGAAGGUAAGUUGCCCAGAUCAUUAGCUGAAUGCACUCAGCUUGAAGUUUUGGACGUGGCAAAAAACAUGAUGAAUGAUACAUUCCCUUUUUGGUUGGGGAAAUUGCCUGCGCUAAAGGUUCUCAUUUUGCGGGAAAACAGAUUUUACGGUCAAAUUAAACAUUUCAAACAUAAAUCUGUUUUCCCAACUUUGGAUGUAUUGGACAUUGCUUCAAACCAGUUUUCUGGUGAACUAUCCAUUGAUUUCCUUCAACCCACUCGACUAAGGUCACUCAAAAUAGGUGGGAAUAAAUUGGAAGGGAAGCUGUCGAGAUCAUUAGCCAAUUGCACAGCACUUGAGGUUCUGGACCUUGGAAAUAAUAUGGUUCAUGAUACAUUCCCAUUUUGGUUAGAGAAGCUACCUUCCUUGAAGGUUCUCGUUUUGCGAGCAAACAGAUUCUACGGCACAAUUUCAAAAAUUGACACGAAACGUGGGUUUCCAAAGCUACGCAUAUUGGACAUUGCUUCCAACAAUUUUUCAGGUGACUUGUCUAUUGAAUUUUUGCAGAGUUUGAAGGCAAUGGCGGAGAUGACUAAUGACGAAAAGGCUACGCUGGAUUAUAUCGGAGAGAAUUAUUAUCAAGACUCUGUGACAAUUGUUAACAGAGGGAUUGAAAUGUUCUACCAAAAAGUCUUGACAAUUCUUACUUGUCUUGACCUUUCCAACAAUAGUUUCCAUGGGAGAAUACCAGAAGAGAUACAAAUGCUGAGGUCACUCAGACUGAUGAACUUAUCCAACAAUGGCUUUUCUGGUGAAAUCCCAUUAGCACUUGAAAAUCUAAAAGAUCUUGAAUCUUUGGAUCUCUCACAGAAUGAGCUGUCAGGGAAGAUUCCUGCACAACUUACAAGUUUAAUUUUCUUAGCAGCAUUGAACUUGUCUUACAACCAACUCGAAGGGAGCAUACCACAAAGCAACCAAUUCAAUACAUUUACAAAUGAUUCCUACCGUGGGAACCCAAAAUUGUGUGGGCUGCCAUUGUCAAGGAAAUGCAAUGAAGUUGGUCUUCCAAUGCCACCACCUCCAGGGGAAAAUGAAGAUUCAUGGUUAUAUGCUCUGUGUACUUGGAAAAUUGCGUUGAUAGGUUAUGCUAGUGGAUUAGUGGUUGGGCUAUGUAUUGGAUAUACAGUGCUGAAUGAGUUGGGAAACAAAUGGGUUAACAAGUUCAAAAAGUGUGGGAUAAGAAAUAGAAGAAGAUGUAGGUGACUCCAUCAGAAUUCUUGCUUCAAAAUUAGCUGGUAAGCGUUUGUCUUUCUAAUUUGAACAGAUAGUUGUUGAUUUAUAUAUAUGGGUUUUCAUAACCUCAUUUUUUGCUGUCUUUACUAAGUUCACUAUCAUAUCGUGCUUGUAAUUUGAUGUUACCAUUGAGCAAUGCAGGAGGUACUUGAAGCAGGACAUGGAAUGUACAGUUGUGAGGUUCAUGAAGAAUGUAGGCAAUGAUCCUAACAAGAUCAAUCCACUGGUUUGUAAUUUUGCUUUAUAUGCACUUUUUUCCUUUUGUAGUUUUCCACGAGUAUAAGUAAGUGUUUAUUCAUUUUGCAUCCAGGUCCCUGUGGAUUUGGGGGAUGCAAUGUUUCACUGCUACUGAAUUUCCAUGCUAAUAAUGAUAUUAUAAACAAGGAUAUGGCUGCCCAAGCUUUCUUUUAUAUGCAAUUUACUUUUACUUCAAUUAUUUUAUCUUCGGAAUAUUUGUACAGCUGAGGAGAUUUAAUGGCAUGAUGUUGAUGGAAGCCAUAUCUGGUGGACAUUGGAUGGAUUGUGUAAAGAGACGCAGAUGCUGCUACUCCCAUCCUUUGCUCUUCCAAACAGAUAUUAGCUUUAUAUUUUAUCAAUCACGUGUUGGGCUUUAGGACCGGGUGUAAAGGGUGGACCUGUUGGUCUGGGUUUUAGUUCAGCCGGACACUUAUUUUCAUACUAGUUUGUUUAUCCUUUCAAUGAUAGUUAUAUUAAUUUCAAAAAACUUUUGAAAUUGAAAUUAAUUUUUUCAAAGAAUCGAAAAAUUGUUAAUAAUAUAAGAUAUCUUGUCAGUCUCAUUUGUCUUUGAUAAUUUCAAUUAAAUCUAUAGAAAUUUUAAUGUGAAAAUUUAAAUAAGUUUCUUUCAAAGAAAUUGCUAAGAAGAGAAAAACUGUAAACAUUUUAUCAUCAAAAUUUCCGCUACUUGUGCCCAUCAAUCCAUCUUAACUACCUAAGAAACUUGCUAAACAUUGUUUUCAUGGGGUAAAAAAGAUUUAGAUAUUUGCAUGCAGUGCCAAAAGGCUGAGACUAAGUCCAAUAAUAUCUCAUUCCAUAAAUUUCUAUUGAUUCCAUACACUUUAAGUUCAUUGAAAAGUCAUCAAAGUUAUGAGAAAAUUUAGUUUUUGAGCCAUUAAUUUAUCUCAACCAGCUAAAAAAAUUCACCACAAUUCCAUUUUUUUUUAUUAGUUGACUAAAAUAAAAUUAGUGGUACAACAUUAUUUUGAUGCAGUAGUGAUCGGGCUUAGUCCAAAAUUAAAAAUAAUGUAUGGAAAGUACUAAUUUGUGUAUAAAUAAGUUGUAUGGAAACAAUCCUCCUUCACAGCCAGCAAACAUGAAAGCCAUAUCUGAUGGACAUUGUACUGAUUGUGUAAAGAGACAACUGCUGCUGCUUCUCCCACCUUUUGCUGACACAUUGGGUUUUUAUUUUAUCAAACACAUGUUGGGUUUUGGUACAGCCUCGCACUUAUUUUGUACCAAUCGAAGUUUCGCAAAAAUUGUGUGGUCAUCAUAAUUUCCACUCCAUAUAUUCCCAUCAAUCCAUCUAAACCAGCUAACACAAAUGCUUUAUUUUUGUGUUUAUAAUGACUUGACUUAAACAAAGUGGUAAACCAUUGUUUUCAUAUGGUAAGGAUCGGGCAAAGACUUAGACAUUUGCAUGCAAUGCCAAAUCUUGAAUUUAGAGUUGAGCCCAUAAUUUGGGGUGUUGGAUUUAAUUAAACCCGUUGGUAGAUCAUAACAUAUUUAUAAGUUGGAUACUACUUAAUAAUUAGGAUUUAGGAGUACUCAUUAUUGGGUAAAAAGACUUGAACAUUAGCUUGCAUGCCAAAGAAAAAAAACCUUAAUUUCUAAAACACAUUUCAUCUUAUCCUUCAGCAAAUUAUCUCCGUCUCAUUUAUUUUUGAUGAUUUUUUAUGAGUGUUUAAUCGAAUCAAGUAAAAUUUUUUUGAGUUAACUGAACUGAUGAGUCCUAUUUAUCAUCCUAACUUGAUUUGACAUUUUUUCGAAUUGAGUCGAGUGAAAUGAAAUUCGAGUCAAAUUGAAUCGAGUGAAAUUAUUCAAGUUCAAUUAAAAAAUUAAAUAUAUCAAAUUAAAAUCUUGUUAUAGGAUAAUUAAUUUAAUGUUAGGACACAUAAAUUUAAAACUAUAUACAUUUGAAAACUUUUUCAAAACAAAAUAAUAAUAAAAAUUCUUACAAUUGAAAAAAUAUAUAUAAUUUAAAAUUUUUAUAAAUAUUUUGAAUUUUAAAAAUUAUUUUGAAAUAUUAGCAGGUAAGCAUUAGUCUAAUUAAGCAUUAGUCUUUCUAAUUUGAAAAGAUAGUUGUUGAAAAAUAAAUUUCUCUAUCAUAUCCUACUUGUAGCAUUGACAUUCAUUUUCCAUAUUCUAUUGUAAUUUUAUGUUUCAUUUAGCAAUGCAGGACAUGGAAUAUCCAGUCAGGAGGUACGUUAUCUUUGAGGAAAAUGGUAAUUAGUUCCUUAUGACUACAAGCAUUUUUCAAUCACGUUUUAUGCUUUAGGUCCGGGUGUAAAGGGUGAACUCGUUGGUCCGGGUUUUAGUGCAGCUUGACACUUGUUUUUAUAUUAGUCUAUUUAUCCUUUCAAUGACAGUCUUAUUACAUUAAAAAUUAUCGUUCAAUUAAGCUUUGUAUGUAAUAAUAUGAUAAUAAUAAUUAAAAUAUAAUGAAAGAAUUUUUGUGUUACAAUCUAGUAUGUUUUUAUAUUAGUCUAUUUAUCCUUUCAAUGAUAGUCUUAUUACGUUAAAAAUUACUGUUCAAUUACACUUUGUAUGUAAUAAUAUGAUAAUAAUAAUUAAAAUAUAAUGAAAGAAUUUUUGUGUUACAAUCUAGUAUGUUUUCCAAUGUUAGCCAAAGUCCAACACUAUGUCACACUAUUAUUACAAUGUACACAUACUUUUUAGGGAAAUUUAUCCAAUGAAACAGAGCAUUAAACUAGUUUCCCAGAUGCAGGGAAGAAUUGGAAUGCCACAAUACUAUGAAAAUGAUUAAGAAAAAUACUAAUAACAAAAAAAAAAAAAUGGUAAUGGAAUCACAGUAAUUGAAAUGACGAAGAAGGGUGUUUACCUGGAUUAUCAGCGACGAAUCUAAUGGUUGCCCAUCCAUUCACAGGCACUCCAACAGUGUUCCUCACAGGUGGAUCAACAAGGCUGAAUUUAGAAAUAUCCUUUUUAGGAUCGAAGUUCUUUAAACGUUGUGCAAUGAUAUAGAAAUCGUAUACAUGAAGAUGAAUUGGAUGAUUCUCGGGUGUCACUAUGCUUUUGUCUUGGAGCACAAUUUUGUACCCUAAAAAUGUUGGUAUGGGUUAGAGGUGAGAGAGGUGACUGAGAUGAAGAUGAUGAUGUUGAUGCUGAUGCUGAUGUGGUUGGUGGUGGCAAUGAUGAAGGUGAGUGAAGAAUGUUCAGUGAUGGAGGAUGCCUCCAGAGUGCUGGGAGCCGAAAGUGUUAGAAGAAAAAUGGUGGAAAAAGAGCCCCCGGUUAGAAGCUUUGCUACAAUUAAAAUUGAGUUAAAUUGAAUUUACCACAAAAUGCUGAUUUGUAUCCCGAUAAAAUUUGGUGUCUACGUAAAAAAAAAAUUAAAAUAUAAUGAAAGAAAUGAUGCCUUGCAAUGUGGUGUGCUUUUUAGUGUUAGUAAACAAUCUAAAACACUAGAAAAUUGGAAGUGACUUUAGAUUUAAAAAAGAAAAAAAAUCCAUAUUUUAGAUUAAAAAAGAAAUUCCUUUACUUUUUUAUGAAUUGACUAAAAUGAAGUGGUAGAAACAUUAUUUUCAUGCAGUAGUGAUCGGGAUAAGAUUAAGAUUAAUAAUAUUUUAUUCUUAUACUAAGACUUAGAAAUUUGCUUGCAAUGCCAAAUAUUAAAACUAAGACUAAGGCCAACAAUAUAUUUUACUAUUAUUUAGUUAAAAGUUUUUGAAGUUUAGAGAUAAAUUUAGAAUGCAACAUAUAAUUUGGGGUGUUAAAUUUAAUUAAACCCUUUAAUAGAUCAUAGCAUAUUUAUAAGUUUGGUACUGCUUCAUAAAUUAGGACAUAAAAGUACUCAUUAAUAAAUUAAUUUCGUAUAUAAAUUAAUUCUUUUGGGUGUUAUACCAAAUUUAAUUUAAAAUUUUUAAUAGUAAUUUUUAUUAAAAAUUAAAUUAUGUAAGAAUAAUUAUAUAUAAUCUAUAUACCUAUAUAUAAAAAUUGGUUUCCACCUUCUUUCUUUUUAAUUUACAUUUUACAAAAAAAAUUAAAAUUAAAAUUUAGUUUCUUUAAUAUGCCUAAAUUUGAGAUUUAAUCUAUACUUUAUUCUUUAACAUAAUUUAGGCACUAUAUUUUUAUAAUGUAAUAGAUUAGUCCUUACACGUGGCACAUCCAACCAUUUUUGCUGUCCUUUCCUUUAUCCUUUUUUUUUUAAUUUUACAAUAAAAUGUUAAAUUUCAGUUUCAAUCCCUCUAAUAUGUCUAAAUUUGAGAUUUAAUCUAUAUACUUUAAUCUUUAACAUAAUUUGGGCCCUACAUCUUUAAAUGUUAUUAAUUAGUCCAAAUUAUUAAUAUGAUUAACUUUUCGGUGAAACAUUACGUGGUUAUUGAUAGUUUGCAUACAUAAGAGUCUUAGAGACUGACACAUUACUUUCCAUUUCUUUUAGGUUUGCAUCACUUUUUUGUAAGCUAUACUAAAACUUAAUAUUUAAUCUAUAUAUUUAAUUUUUGAUAUAAUUUAGUUCAUCUACUUUUAUAAUGUAAUUAGCUAGUCAAAAUAGUUAAUGUUGUUGGUUAUUUCUAUCAACAUGCUAAUGUCAAUUUUUCUUAAAAACAAUAUGCUUCUGAUAGGAUUUUUUUUAUCGCGGCGAUGUGAAUGAGUGUUGUUAAGGAAAAGUCUUUAUAAAAUAUUUUAAAAGUUAUUUUUAUUGUUACAUGACUACCAAUUGAUUUUUUUUUUAAAUUUCAAAAUAUCACCUCAGAGAAUUUAAUAGAAGAAUUUUAAUGAUAGUAUAAUUGAAUCAAAAAUUUUAAAUUUUAAAAGUAGAAAAUCAUAUUUCUAAAAAUAAAAAUAGAGAAGCUAAAUUCUAAAUGUACAAAAUAGAGAGAAUUAAAAUAUAUUUUAACCUUCAAAUAUUUUACUCUAUAAUUAUAUAUUUUUACUCUAUAAUUCUCACUUCCACUUUAUCUUUGUUAAUUUCCUACUUAUUUCUAUUUUUUAUUUUGCUUAUGAAUCUAAACAGAGAAAAAAAAAGGACAAAAAAAAGAAAGAAAUGAAUAGUAUGAAUUAAAAUUUGAGAUUUGAUCCCUAUUAAAAAUUAAAAAUUUAUUGUUUCUAUUUUUUUAAUUUAAAAAUCAUAGAUAAAUCCUUCUACACGUAAUUUAAAAUUUUUGUGCAUUCAAUCAUCAGAAUUUCCACUCCUUGUGUCCAUCGGUUCAUCUCAAAUCACCUAAGAAACUUGCUAUAAUUUGUCUUUAUAAUGACUUAAACAAAUCGGUUGAACAUUGAUUUCAUGCAGUAGUGGUCCACCAAGAAGACUUAGGGUAGUUUUGGAUAGGUGGUGUAUUUAUUUGCUGUUAGUCUAAAAACAACGGUGACGGUAAGAUUAGAUACUAUAAUGAUACUGUAACAUGAGAUAAAAAAUAAGCUAAACGCACCGCACCGCCCAUCCAAAUCCACCCUUAGACAUUAACAUGCAUGCCAAAACAAUUAAGACUAAGGCUAAUAAAAUCUCAUAUUAUCAUUUUCUUUGUUAGUCCAAAAUAAAAAAAUAUUAAAAAAAUUUAAGUUAGACAAUUAUUGAUAAUUUAAGGACUUAAUUGAAAUAUUUUAAAAUUUAGGUAUUAAUUUAUAAUUUAAUCCAUUAUUCAGGGGAAAAGAUCAGAACCUUGGAAUAUUAUUCAUAUAGAAUAAAGAUGCAGAAAAAAGAAUGGUCUUCAUUUCUUUCGUUCUUUAUCAUUUUAAUUAACUUUAAGGAAGCUUCAAAGUAAAAAUUUAAAUAUGUUUCUUCCCAAGAAAUUAUAUUAACAACUUAAUGUAAAUAAUGAUUUGAAUAUUGGAAUUAAAUAUUAAGUAAAAUAAUAAUGUUGUAUUGAAACUACAAAUUUAUGUAUAAAUGUGUUGCAUGAAAACCAUCCUCCUUCAUACCCAAUCAACAUGAAGACUCUUCAGUCCAUUGCUUCACUUUUUCUACCUUUCUUCUUUCUCUUCUCAUCCUUUCUUUCUCAAACUCAUCUCCUAAUGCAGUGCCUUAAUAAAUAAGUUGUAUGCCAAACACAAUCCUCCUUCACACCCAUCCAACAUGAACACUUUUCGUUUCCUUAUUUCACUAUUUCUCUUCUCAUGCUUCUUUCCUCCUCUCUUGUCUUUUUUACCUCUUCAAACUAAUCUCCCAAAUGCUGCAAUUGCAACAUCAUCUUUACUAUGCCCCUAAUUUUACUUUCUCUUCCAAAUUUGAGCUCUGUGAUGUCAACACUGAUUGUUGUUCUUGGGAAGGAGUCACUUGUGAUGCUUAUGGUCAUGUCGUUGGCAUUGAUCUUAGUUACAAAAACCUUUCCAGUAUCUUCCACUCAAUAUUCGAUCUCCAUCAUCUUCAACACCUGAAUCUUGUUGAAAAUAACUUUAAUACCACUUUGCAUUCUUAUGGGUUUGUGUUAAAGUUGGCCUGCAUGCAGCCAAGAAGCAGAGAAGCAACCCGAGCCAUGAAUGUUGCAGUUGAAGAUGGUGCUGCUGUUUUUGUUUAGUUUUGUUACUUUAAUUAACAUUUUGUAACUUAGUUAGAUUCAAACCAAGUUGUUAAUGUACUUGAUGUAAUUUGUCAAUGCUUUGAGCUGAUAAAUUAGCUUCACUAAGUGUGCAAGUUAUGUUUCAUUAGUUUCAAGGUUACUUAGUGGUAGUAGGUAAUGUUUAGGUAACAAUUUACUUAUUUUUAACUAGCUUAUGUCUGGUAUAUGUAUUGGCAUUAUGCCAUCUUUCAAUGUUAAUGAAAAUUCAUCAAAAUUCAUCAUAAAAUUCCCUUUUCUUGCUUUCUUUUGUCUUUCAAGCCUGGUUAUAUUUUGUUUGCUCAGCAAGUAUCGAGCCUUCAAGCUCAAGAAACUGCUAACUUCAUUCAUUUCACAUUCUUAGUUCCAACAAUUGGUAUCUAGAGCUCAUCUUCUAAGUGGACAUGUCAUUUUUCAUUCCUCAAAACUAUGUCUUCUUCAGGUUCUCUCCAGCUGCACCAACAGUCUUCAAUGGAGAAUGCUACCACAUUUGGGUAGUAAAGAUGAAAACCUACUUGCAGGCAUUCAACUUAUGGGAAGUGGUUAACUCGGAUGUUGAACCAGCACCUCUAAGAGUCAAUCCCACAGUGGCUCAGAUCAGGCAGCACAUAGAUGAAAGAACUAAGAGAUACAAGGCCAUGUCUUGCAUCCAAAACAGUGUGUCUGAUGUGAUUUUCACAAGUAUCAUGGUUUGUGAGUCACCAAAACUGGCCUGGGAUAGGCUGAAGGAGGAGUUUCAAGGGACUGAAAGAACGAGAUAGCAAAAAUUAGUGAAUUUGAUAAGGGACUUUGAAAUUUUGAAGAUGAAGGAAGAAGAAAUAGUGAGGCAAUAUUCAGAUAGAAUCAUGGUUGUUGUGAACAGCAUCAAAUUGCUUGGGGACCAGUUUAGUGAAGCAAGAAUUAUAUAGAAGGUUAUCUCAACCUUGCCUGAAAGAUAUGAGGCCAAGAUCUCAUCCCUUGAAGACUCGAGAGAUCUGAUUAGCAUCUCAUUGACUAAGCUGAUCAAUGCUCUUUAUGCUUAAGAGCAAAGAAGAGCCAUCAAACAAGAAGAGCAUAAAAAAUGUGCAUUCCAAGCUAAAAGUAGAUUUACCUCGAGCUCCUCUAGCUAUAAAGGGAAGAAGACCUAGCAAGAAUGCCUAAAAGAGAUGGAGUAAGAAGAAGAUAUCCACCUUGCCCACAUUACAAAAAGCUUAGUCAUCAGGGAGAAAACUGUUGGUUCAGGUUUGAUGUGCAGUGCAAAGUCUGCAAAAAGAUGGGUCAUGCUGAGAAAGUUUGCAGAAACAAAGGCAAGCUGAGACGAAACCAACCUCAAUAGCCAAGAGCUAAAUCUCAAAUGGCAGAAGAAGGUAAUGACUAAGAAGAGUAAGUCUUUGUUGUUUCAUGCUCAGCUGCCAAAAGAAAAGCCACAAAAGAAUGGCUGAUAGACAGUGGUUGCACAAACCACAUGACUCCUAAUGCUGCUAUUUUCAAGACCUUAGACAGAACCUUCAACACAAGGGUGAAAGUUGGUAAUGGACACUUCAUCAAAGUAGAAGGCAAAGGAGAUGUGCUGAUUAACACUCCUACAAGUAUCAAACUUGUUUCAAAUCUUUUGUUUGUGCUUGAAAUUGACAGAAAUCUACUUAGUAUAGCUCAGUUGCUAGAAAAGGACUAUUCAAUAGUGCUCAAAGGCAAAGAAUGCCUGAUCAGUGAUCCAUAUAGAUCGAAACUCAUGUCAGUGACCAUGGCUGACAGAAGUUUUGUUAUGGACUGGAACAAGGGUUCAGACAGUGCCUAUACAGCUGCUUUGGAUGAAUCCAAGCUGUGGCAUAAAAGGCUAGGCCAUGUCAACUACAAGUCACUGGCUCAGCUAACCAAAGAAGACUUGGUUGAAAACUUCUCCAAAUUAGUUGAGAAAGAAGAAGUGUAUGAAGUGUGUCAGCUAGGAAAGUGAGCUAGACUGCCAUUUCCUUUGAACAAGGCUAAGAGAGCCUCUGAAAAGUUGCAACUAGUCCACACUGAUGUGUGUGGCCAUAUGAAGACACAAUCUUUGAAUGACAGCAGGUAUUUUAUCCUUUUCAUUGAUGACUACUCAAGAUAUUAUUGGAUUUACUUCCUAAAGGACAAAUCAGAAGUAGCCUUAAUAUUCUGGAAGUUCAAGGCUGUAGUAGAAACAGAAACAGGUUACAAGCUAAAGACAUUAAGGUCAGAUAAUGGGACAGAGUAUACCUCAACUAUGUUUCAGGGCUUUUGUGAUGAAGCAAGCAUCAAGCACCAAUUCACCAACACCUACACACCUCAACAGGAUGGUGUUAGUGAAAGAAAGAAUAGAAGCUUGAUGGAUAGGGCAAGAUGUCUGUUGUUUGAGAGAAAUUUGCCCAAAACCUUGUGGGUUGAGGUAGUUAACACUGUUGUAUAUCUUCAAAAUAGGUUACCAACCAAGGCAUUGGUUCAUAAAACUCUAUUCGAGGCCUAGUUUAGGUUCAAACCAUCAGUUGCUUACCUGAGGGUCUUUGGAUGCAUAUGCUAUGCACAUGUCCCGGAAGUAAAAAGAGAUAAGUUGGCCAAGAAGGCUCAACCUGGCAUCCUGGUGGGCUAUAGCAGUGUCAAGAAAGGCUAUAGGGUCUUGGCCCCUUCAUCCAAUAAAGUUUUUGUGAGCAAAGAUGUAGUAUUUGAUGAGAAGUGAGGCCGGAACUGGGAUAAAAAUAAACCAGAGACUGCUACUGAAGACCUGGUGACAAAUCAAACUGAAGCUGAUCGAAAUGAUCCUAAAAUGGGCAUUGAUGAUGUGCCAGUUAGAGGAACCAGACCAUUGGCUAAAAUAUAUGAGAGGGCUGAUGUGGCUGCUAUUAAACCAAAUUGCUUUGAAGAGGCUGAAGCUCAACAAGGUUGGAAACAUGCAAUGCUUGAUGAAAUGAGCAUGAUUCACAAGAAUAAGACCUGGGAGCUCGUUGCAAGACCAGCCAACAAGAAGGUUAUAGGAGUGAAGUGGGUGUUUCGAGCCAAGCAUAAAGCUGAUGGAACUUUGAACAAGCUGAAAGCAAGAUUAGUAGUGAAGGGAUUCAGUCAAAGGUAUGGCAUUGAUUAACUUGAAACAUUUGCACCUGUGGCCAAGUUUGACACAAUUAGACUGCUGGUUGCCUUGGCUGCACUGAAUCAUUGGAAGAUUCAUCAACUCGAUGUAAAAUCUGCCUUCCUCAAUGGUUUUCUUGAUGAUGAGAUAUAUGUUGAACAAUCUGAAGGUUUCAUAAAAAAAUAUUAUAGUUUUUACAUAAUAUAAAUUUUAGAAUUUUUAUGAAUAUUUUGAUUUUAAAAAUUAUUUAAUUUUUUUUGUAAUUUUUGUUAAGAGAGAUUAAUUUGUUAAUUUUUAAAAUUGACAGGAAUCAAAGGAGUAUAUAUAUCAAUCUGUUGUUUGAAUUAUUUGAGUUAUUUAAAUUAUAAAAUUUAACUCAAAUCUCAAAUUAUUAAUAUUUUUAAUAAUAUAAAACAUUAAAAAUAUUAAAAUUAAAUAAAAAAAUUAAAUAAUAAUAUAGAAAUGAAAAUAUUUCUCAUGCUCUAAGAAAGUUUGAAAGCUGAAAUUUAAAUAUGUUUCUUUCAAAAGUGAAAAAUUCUAUAUAUUCUAUCAUCAAAAUUUCCACUCAUUGUGUCCAUCAAUUUAUAAGGUGACUUGACUUGUACACAUUGGUUGAACGUUGUUUUUGUGCAAUAAAAACUUGGACAUUUGCAUGCAAUGCCAAAGACUUAAGACUUAAAAGGUCUAUAAUAUUUCAUACUACCAUUUUUUCUGGUCCUAAAUUAAAGAUUUUAAAAAUUCCAAAUUAAAAUGUUACUCAUAAUUUGAGAACUUAAUUAAAGCAUUGUAAAGUUUAUGUGUCAAUUUAAAAUUCGAUGUAUAAUUUUGCGAUGUAAGGUGAAUUAACCCGUUUGAUAAAUCAUUACAUAUUUACAAGUUGGAUACUCAUUAACAAAUUGAUUUUAUAUUAUAAGUUAAAAUUUAUAUUUUUGGUGCUAUAACAAAAUUUACUUAAAAAAUUAAAUUGUAAUUUUUUUAUUUUAAAAAAAUUAAAUGAUGUAGAAAUAAUUAUAUAUAACAUAAAAAUGAUAAAAUUUACCUAAGUUUAAAAUAAUUUAAAGUUAAAAUAUUUGUAUCAUGGAUUUUUUUUUCUAAAAAGUCGAUACCUAAAAUAUAUAAUUUAAACUCAAAAUAUCGGUUGAAUUAUCAUCUUUGCGUAGUAAUGGUUCCAAUAGGGUUUAAAGUGCUAUAAUUUAAUCUUUUUUAAUGACUUAGAUUUAGACGAUUAUUUAUAUAGAGUAAGGAGUGGGCAAGAAAAUGACAACCUUGGCAUUAAUAAAUUAAUGAGAUCGAUAAAAUAUUAAAAUCUCGUUCUUGAAAAUUAAAAUUAACAAAAAAGAAAGACGUAAGGCAAAUUAAGUGUGGAUUUAACAACUUAUUUCUAAUACUAACAAUAAGUAAUUUAUGCAUCAUAAGUAAUUUAUGCAUCAUGACUAACAGCUUUAAAUAAUACUUGAUGGAGUCUUGAUUUGGCAAAAUGACUUAGAAAUUGCAUGCAAUGCCAAUCACUCAUAAACUGUAACGACCCAAAAUCCGUGGGCAGUGGAAAAGUAUACUAUCGGGCCUCUAUCUUAGUAAACCGAGUUAGUAAAUAAUUAUUAGGAGUAAGUAUGAGUUUAGUUGAGUGCUUAAUUAGGUAUUAAUUAGGUGAAUUUAGUCUAAUUAAGAAUAAUUAGAAAAAAGGAUCAAAUCGAAUAAAGAGUGAAAGUCUAAUUAUAGAUUAAAAGAAAGUAAAAAGGACUAAAAUGAAAUUAAGCCAUUUACAUGAAAAGAGGCGACAUAUAUGCAUUAAAUCCAAGAUUUUAUUUAUAAAUAUUAUAUGUAUAUAAUUGUUAUAAUAAUUAUUAUUUAUUCAAAUUGUAAUUUAUAUUAAUUAUAUUAUUAUAUUAUAGAAUAAAUUAAAAUUAAGACAAGUGUUUGGUGAUAAGAUGGUACAAGUGUAAUAAUAUAUAUAUAUACACUUGUAUUAUAAUUAUUAUUUACUUAAAAUUUAAGUAAAAGAUAUUAAUUAAUUAAAUAAUUAUAUUAUUAGAUUUUUAUUUGAUAAACAAAUUAAAUAGUGACAAUUGUAUGAUAUUGAUGGUGUACAAAUGUGAAUAAAUGAUUGAAUAUUUAAUAGAUAUUUAGAAUAAAAUAUAUAUAUAUUAUUAUAAUAUAAAGUAAAUAAAAGAAAAUAAAAUAAAAGAAAGCAAAUGAAAUAAAAAGAAACAAAAGAAGAACAUAAUAGAAACAGAGAAAGAGACGAAAACAGGGGAAGAAAAGGGAAAGAAAAGAAAAGGGGAAAAUUGGGAUUUUAAAGCUUCAAGUUUAAUUGGUUAGCUAAAUUUAGCAUUUUUCUCUUAAUUUUGAUGUUUUAGAAGCUUUAAAACAAAGUUUUGUUGAAAUUAAGUUGAGGUUUUGGAAGUUUAUAAGUUUAGAGAGCAUGGUUCAUGUUGGACAAUUUGUUAAAUUAGGGAUUUAAUUGAAUGAAUUUCAAGUUAGAAUUGAUAAAAGGAUUAAAUUGUGAAGUAAGUUAUAAUUUUAUAUUGUAGGGACUAAAUUGAGGAAAAUUCAAAAUUAGAAAAAUAUGCUGAAAUUUUAAUAAUUAAAUUUGAGUUUGGAUGAAAUUUGAAUAGAAAAAGAGUGUGAAUUGAAUUAGAAAAGUAAGUAAACUUAGUUAAGAUUAAAUUUAGAAUAAGGUAAGAAUUGAUUAAAAAAUUAAUUAAUUAUUUUAAUUUAAUGUUGUAAUUAAUAGCGAAAAUUAUUAUUAUUUUCGUAGCUAACAAAGAACCCGAGACAUCGGCAUCAAAAGGAAAGGAGAAAGCUAUCGAGGAUUAAAUCGGGAGAUUUACGAUUUGUAUUACUAUAAUUCAAAUUAUUUAUUACUUAUUAUUAAAUUAAAAUUAUUUGUAUGGUAAGUGAAUAAUAAGGUAAGUGACUUAUUUAUAUUGAAUUUGGAAAAUUAAAUUGAAAUGAGAAAAGUAUGUUUCGGUAAUAAAUUGUGUUUUGAAUAGUGAAUGGAAAAGUAUAAUUGAGACCGAUACUGAACUGAAUUAUGAAAUACUGAAUAUUGUUUGAAUACUGAAUUGAACUGUGAAAUUACGGAAGUAAUGAAUUAUUGCAAUACUGUGAAACUGAUUGAAAUAAGGAAUUUUAAUUAAUACUAAACUAAAAUGGAAAUUAUACUGAAAAGUGAAUUAAAUACCCUAUUAACUAGUCGGGCUAGUCGGAUAUAGUUGGCAUGCCAUAGGAUAUGGAAGAGUACGGGGUAUUUGCUGGCUUACUGAUCAGGCACUUAUUGUAAUAACCCGAUUCUAGGCCUAGUCGGAGCAGUGGUUUCGAGACCACAAAUCCGACGAGGGAAAAAUUAUUAUAUUUUUAUGGUCUACAAUUUCAAGAAAAAUUGUUGUAAAAAUUUCGUUCGAAAAUUUUGACGUUUGGGCACUCAAUUUAAUCAAAAGGACUAAAUUGUAAAAAGUGCAAAAGUUGAGUUCUACAUCUUAGAGGUGUCUAAUUGUUAUGAAAUUUUAAAUUGAAGGUCUUUAUGUGGUAACUAGACCAUUAGUUAGUUGAUGGACAAAAAUGAGCAUAGAAUUAGUGAAAAAGAUUUUUUUAAGUAAGGGCAUUUUAGUCAUUUGGUAAUUAAAUAGAAUUAAAUGGGUGAAAGAUGACAAAAUAUGCUCAUCUUCUUCAUGGUGAAUGAAAUCAGUAAGGGGGAAAGCCAUAUUUAGGGUUUUUAAGCUUCCAAGCUCCAUAAUCAAGAAAGAUGUGAAGACCACCUUAAACGGGAAAAAGAAAAGGUCGAGGAGUAAAUCACAAAAUCAAAAUAUUUUGUUCCGAGGUAAGUAUGCAUGUGAUUUAAUGUAUUAUUUUAAUGUUAUUUUAUAUAUAUUGCUGGGAUUUGAUUGAAAAUGGAACGAAUACUCGAUAUAGACUCUAAAAUGUGGUUAAAUUGGAAGGUAGUAAAGCGUUGAAAAUCAAAGUUUCCGGUUGAACACUCGGAAUAAGCCGGGAUACAUUGAACAUAAAAGGGGGUUUCUAAGUGUUGAUUCCCCAAAUCAUCGGUGGUUGCUAAGUGCUGAUUCCACCGUGUCUUCGAAUAUGAAAGGGGUUGCUAAGUGCUGAUUCCCCAAAUCAUCGUGCUGAUUCUCCAAAUCAUUGGUGGUUGCUAAGUGUUGAUUCCACCGUAACGGAUUGUAUAAGGGGUUGCUAAGUGCUGAUUUCCCGAAUCAUUGGUGGUUGCUAAGUGCUGAUUCCACCAUAUUUUUGAAUGUGCAAAAGGAGGUUGCUAAGUGCUGAUUCCCCCAAGGGGUUGCUAAGUGCUAAUUCCCCGACUCACUUGUGGUUGCUACGUGCUGAAUCCACCAAAUAACGGUUAAUAUUCUGAGUGUUCAACAGGAAAAUUGGAAGGGUGAUUGAACAUGUAAAUUAAAUAUGAUUGUGUGGGGAAUAUUGGGUUUGAUAUUUAAUCAACCCAUGUGUAAGAUGAAUGGAAGUAUCAAAACUACAAAAGAGCAAGUUGGUCACAAACAGCUUAAAACAACAACAGUUGGGUAACUUGGAAAAUUCACCAUAAAUGGUGGAAUUUGAAUUAGAGGUUGGGUAAUAUAUGAAAUUGAAGCUGAAUGAGUCUAUUUUCAUAUGAAAGAAUCAUAGCAAGCAAAAGAGUUAUAUAUUUUGAAAUAUUUAAAUUUUAGUGAGACAGGGCUGAAUUGCUUUUGAGAUCCCCUGUUCCAACUUUGGAAAAUCACCAAAAAUUGUAAAAAAAUAAUUGUGGGUUGAAAUUUAUAUACUUAAAUUUCUUCAUUAAGUCUAUUUUCUGUAGAAAUAAACAAGAACCUUAUAUGAAUUUUGCACAGAGAGUAUAGAUUUUAGUAAAGGGUGGUCAGAGCUGUCGAGCAGUGAAAAGGGGAAGGUUUGAAGAAUAAAAUGUACUAAUUUCCAAAACCAAAAAUUCUGAAAAUUUUAUGGUAGAAAGGUAUAUGAGUAUAGUUUCAGAUAAAAUUUACAGAACUCAAUUUGGAGCUCUGUAGCUCCAGAUAAAAAUAAAUUAGUGACUGUGAUGCAGAAAAACAGGUUGCUGGAAAUUGAGCAAACAAUGAAAUUUAUGAAUGAUUAAAAUUAUAUCACUUUGUAAUAUUAUGAGAAAUUUAUUAAUUUUUCAUGUGGUUACUUACUAAGCUAUAUGCUUACUCUUCUUUAUUUUUCUCUUGAUUAUAGUGAUAACAAUCUGCCUGAAGUUGGACGAAGUCAGAAAUCAUCCACACUAUCGUCAUCUCUCGGGGUAUUUUGUAAUCAAUACUUUUGAAACAUGGCAUGUAUAGAUGACUUAAUUUAAUAUGAUAUAAAUAUGUUUGUAAAAUAUUGUUCGGUUAAAAAUGUUGGUGUUUAUUAUUGAAUAAAUUGUGUAUGCAUAUAUAAUACUGUAAUUGGUUGAAAUAUUAAGAUCGUUUGAAAUUGUUCUUUGAAAAUUUGCAGGAGGUUUUAUGUAAAAAUAAGCAGAAAUGCUGCCGAAAUUUUACAAAAAAAAAUAGUAAUACCUCGUGCUCUAUUCCAUCAAGGAAUACGGGUAAGGGGUGUUUCACUUAUGUGCCGACUACUGUUACUGUUACCGAUUCGGCACUUUGUGUGUCGAAUACUGUUACCAUUACUGUUACCGAUUCGGCACUUUGUGUGUCGAAUAUUGCUACUGUUACUGGUUACUGUUUAUUAGUGUGUUUGGUUGGAAUCCGUGUAUCCGCCGAGUCCGAGUUAAGUUAAUAGGGAUAAAUGAAAUAAAUUUACUGAUAAAACCAAUCUCGAAUGAUAUAGUAUAUGUGAAAAAUGAAAAUUGAAAUAAAGAAAUAAGAAUGAUAUUUAUAUAUAAGAUUAAUUGAUAAUAUAAAAAGAUCGAAUUGUUUAUUAGUAGUGAUGAUUGUAAUGAAAAAGUAUGUGUGUGAUUUAAUGUAUUUAAUUGUAAAUUGAAUUAUAGUGAUACCACUGAGUAUGAAAUACUCAGCGUACAGUUGUUUCUGUGCGCAGGUCGAUAGAAGUCAAAGGUUCCGUUUCAGCAUCCGAAGCCAGACCCGACUUCAGCAAAUUUUGGUGAUGAAUAUUUUCUUUGGUAAUGUGGCAUGUACAUAGGAUGGGUAUAAAAGUUAUUAUGUUUUGAAUAUAAAUGGUUAAAAAUGUUAGAAUUAUAAGUCUAAGAAUUAUAAUGAAAGAAGUUUAUCCAUUUCAAUUUAAUUAGUACGUUGAUAAAUUUAAAUUGAUAUUAUAUUGAUUGAGUUUGGUUAGAAGGUAUUUAGAAUAGAAUGAGAAUGUGAAAUGAAUUGGUUGAAUUGGUUAUGUUUGGAAAUGAUACAGUUUUAAUUGCAGGAGGUUUUAUGUAAAAAUAAGCAGAAGUGCUGUCGAAAUUUAUAAUAAUAAAAAAAAGAAAAAAAAAGAGAAAAAUUCGGAGUACUUAAACGAGUCCCAUUCAUUAUUAAUACAUGUUUUAGCCUUCGAAAGUUCAUUACAAGGACUUAGUUAUUCAAUUAUAUUACAAAUGUUAUUUUAUUUAUAAAUUAUUCGUAAGUUGUCUGAUAUGUUCGGUAAUGCCUCGUAAUCCUGUUCCGGUGACGGUUCGGGGUUAGAGGGUGUUACAUAAACAUUUUUCUAUGGAAAAUACACACUUGUGUAUAAAUAAGUCGUAUGCCAAACACAAUCCUCCUUCACACCCACCCAACAUGAACACUCUUCAUUCCCUUAUUUCACUCUUUCUCUUCUCAUGCUUCCUUCCUCUUCUCUUGUCUUUUUCACCUCCUCAAACUCAUCUCCCAAUGCAAUGCCUUGAUGACCAGAGAUCUCCUCUGCUGCAAUUGCAACAUCAUCUUUACUAUGCCCCUCAUUUUACUUUCUCUUCCAAAUUUGAGCUUUGGCACCCCAACACUGAUUGUUGCUCUUGGGAAGGAGUCACUUGUGAUGCUUAUGGUCAUGUCGUUGGCAUUGAUCUUAGUUACAAAAACCUUUCAGGCAGCUUUCACCCCAUAUUCAAUCUCCAUCGUCUUCAACGCCUUAAUCUUGUUGGAAACAACUUUAAUACCACUCUGUUUUCGUAUGGGUUUGAUAAACUCCAAAAUCUAACUCAUCUCAAUCUUUCAAGCUCAUGUUUCCAUGGCCAAAUUCCAGUGGAGAUCUCAUUCUUAAAAAAUUUAGUCUCUCUUGAUCUAUCCAAUCAAGAUUCUUGUUAUUUGAGAUAUUACAAAGUUCUUGUUGAAAGCUGGACUGCAAAGCAACAUGUGGCCAGCAGCAUGGUUGGCUGUCGAGCUUGGUGAUAAUGCUUGGUGUGCAAGACUGAAGCUGAACCAGAUGAAGCAAUCAACUUUGGAUGUUUUGUUCUUUUGUAAUUUAGUUUAGUUCAACUUUAACUAGUUUCCAAAGUUAGUUGGAUUAAGUUUGUGAUUGGAUUGAUGAUGUAAAAGCUGGUAUGUCAGCUUAUUUUGUAUUUGACUUAAGCUUGUAUUAGUUUAGUUUAAGUGGGAGCAGUUAUGUCAUUAGGUAACUGUCAAAUGAAUCAAAUUUGUAACUCUUUUAUAUAUUCAAAUUUUGAAUGAAAAAAAAAGGUGAAUGUUCAGUUACAAUUUGCUGAGUAUUCAAUUUUGUUCACUGUUUUUUGCUUUGCUUUGAUUUCUUUUGCUUCGAUACUUCUUGCUUCAGUUUUGCAAAUUCUGUUUUGCAACUUUGUUUUCUUUUUGCUGCUGCCAUUGUUCCAACAAAUGGUAUCAUGAGCCCGAGUCUUUGAGGGGCCUUUGUAUGCAAUCUGCAGCCACUUCAAUUAAAGAAUCCAAACUUCAAGACAUUAAUCAAGAAUUUGAGGUUUCUCACAGAGCUUUAUUUGGAUAGUGUGGACAUUUCAACUCAAAGUGCUAAAUGGUGUGAAACCACAUCUCUUAUACUUCCAAACCUGCAUGUGUUGAGUCUGUCAAGCUGUAGUUUGAAAGGUCCAUUAUGUUCUUCACUCUCAAGACUCUCUUUUCUUUCCAAACUUAUCCUUGAUUGGAACCCAAUCUCUUAUUUACCUCCCAAUUUCUUGGAAAUUUCCUCUCGUUUGGUUUCUCUCAGUUUGAGGAACUGCAAUUUGAGUGGCCAUUUUCCAAUUGAAAAUCUCUUAUCGCCAAAAAUUCAAAGCAUUGACAUUUCAUUCAACUUCCAACUUAUGGGUUAGUUGCCAGAAUUUCCAGCAAACAAUGCAUUAUUGAGUCUGUCACUUUUUGAGACAAAUUUCAGUGGAAAACUACCCCAAUCAAUUGGUAAUCUCAAGUUCUUGACUAAUUUAGAGCUUGAUGAUUGCAAUUUUUUUGGACCCAUUCCAUCGUCAAUUGCAAAUCUUAGUCACCUGGUCAACCUAGAUCUGGGAGGGAACAAGCUUUCUGGAUCAAUACAUUCUUCUUUAUUUACUCUUCCAUCGUUGAAGACCUUGUAUCUUGGAGAAAAUCAAUUGGUUGGGAAAAUUGACGAGUUCCCCAAUGCAUCUUCUUCUUUGAUUCAAGAAUUAAGUAUAGGAAAUAAUUAUUUAAGAGGAGCAAUCCCAAAGUCAAUUCUUCAACUCCCAAGGCUUGAAUGGCUUUAUAUCGAAAGCAAUAGCUUUAGUUCUAUGAAGCUUGACAUGUUUGUCCAAGUCAACAACUUAAGGACUCUCUGGCUAAACAAUAUAAGCUUGUUAAUUGAAAGCGACAACAGAAGUCUUACUUUUCCCAAUUAGAGAGUCUAAGCCUAUGGUCAUGCAACCUUACUGAAUUUCCAGAAUUCAUUAAAAGGCAAGACAAGUUGGUUGACUUAGAUCUUUCUAACAAUCAUAUCCAUGGUGUUGUGCCUAAUUGGUUGUGGAAGAGCAGUCUUUCAUCCUUACACCUUCCUUUCAAUGUGAUUGAUUUUCCAAAACAGCUUCCCUUAAAUGAUGCAAACUUCUCAUUUCCAAUGUUGACAGAAUUGGAUUUGAGAUCCUGUAACAUAAGUGCGUUUCCAGAGUUCUUAAAGAGUGUUGGAACAAAGAGACAAUAACAGGCUGUUUGUAUCUUGCUUGAAUAGCAAGCCUCGAGCCUUGUUGAAGAAACAAACUCAGAAGCAAAACAGAAAAUGAAACUAGCAGGCGAAUAACAGAAAAGAGAGAAGAAGAAUGAAUGAAAAAUGAGCUGAUAUUUUUUUCAUUAACUCAAAACAAGGCAUUAAGCCAUUACAUAUUUCAGUCAACAAGUAAAACAAACAAGUAAUCACCUAAUCAACUACCUAACUCCACUAAUUUGCAUUGAAACUUACAAGAUUAGCUUGUACAACUUGCAUUGCUGACUUUUCAGUCAAUCAAUAUCAAAACAUUUACCUACUUAGUUCAACAUGAACUAGAUUACAAAACAAUCAAAAUGAAACCAAAACAGCAAGUGGAUUGGCAGCUUCAAACUUCAGUUGCUGCACACAAUGGCACCACUGUUUGCUGCUAUUUCUUCGAGCAUGACCACCUUUGCAUGUCGUGCAUGGCCACCUUUGCAUGGGAACUAAACUUAACAAAGAGUCUAGAAAAUUUAAUAUUUCUCGACCUUUCAAUUAAUAAAAUAAGUGGUGCAAUACCAAACUGGGUGUGGAAGAAAAGUUUGCGGUCUCUGUAUCUUGCUAAUAACCAUCUCUCAUCUUUGGACCAACUUUUACCCAAUCAGAGUUCAACUUCUUCACAAACCUCCUCGACUAGACCUAUUUGCAAUUUGAGUCAACUUAGAAAUUUCGAUGCAUCUCAUAACAAUUUGAGCGGCACGAUUCCAAAUUGCUUAGGCAAAAUGAAUGAUCUCCUAUUGUUGGAUCUGCAAGGAAAUAACUUCAGUGGAAUGUUACCAAAAUUUUCAAAAGCAACCCACUUAUAUAUUCUCAAAGUUAGUGAGAAUAGAUUGGAAGGGAAGUUGCCCAGAUCAUUAGCUGAAUACACUCAGCUUGAAGUUUUGGACGUGGGAAACAACAAGAUGAAUGAUACAUUCCCUUUUUGGUUGGAGAAAUUGCCUUACUUGACGGUUCUAAUAUUGCGGGAAAACAGAUUUUAUGGUCAAAUUAAACAUUUCAAACAUAAAUCUGUUUUCCCAACUUUGGAUGUAUUGGACAUUGCUUCAAACCAGUUUUCUGGUGAACUAUCCAUUGAUUUCCUUCAACCCACUCGACUAAGGUCACUCAAAAUAGGUGGGAAUAAAUUGGAAGGGAAGCUGUCGAGAUCAUUAGCCAAUUGCACAGCACUUGAGGUUCUGGACCUUGGAAAUAAUAUGGUUCAUGAUACAUUCCCAUUUUGGUUAGAGAAGCUGCCUUCCUUGAAGGUUGUCAUUUUGCGAGCAAACAAAUUCUACGGACCAAUUACAAAAUUCAACACAGAACGUGGGUUUCCAAAGCUACGCAUAUUGGACAUUGCUUCCAACAAUUUUUCAGGCGACUUGUCCAUUGAAUUUUUGCAAAGCUUGAAGGCAAUGAUGUAGUUAACAAAUGAGGACAAAGCUAAGCUGGAUUACAUUGGAGAGAAUUAUUAUCAAGAUUCAGUGACAAUUUUCAACAAAGGGAUUGAGCUGUUUUACGAGAAAAUCUUAAACACUCUUACUUGUUUGACCUUUCCAACAAUAGUUUCCAUGGGAGAAUACCAGAAGAAAUACAAAUGCUGAGGUCACUCAAAGUGCUAAACUUGUCCUAUAAUAGCUUGUCCGGUGAAAUCCCAGUAGCAGUUCAAAACCUAAAAGAUCUGGAGUCUUUGGAUCUCUCACAGAAUGAGCUAUCAGGGAAGAUUCCUCCACAGCUUACAACUCUAACUUUCCUAGAGGCACUGAACUUGUCUUACAACCCACUUGAAGGGAGCAUACCGCAAGGCAACCAAUUCAGUACAUUUUCAAAUGAUUCUUAUCGUGGGAAUCCAAAAUUAUGCGGUCAACCAUUGUCCAAGAAAUGCAAUGAAGACGGUCUUCCAGUGCCACCGCCUCCAGGGGAAGAGGAACAGUCAUGGUUAUAUGCUAUAUCAACUUGGAAAAUUGUUUUGAUAGGUUAUGGUAGUGGUUUGGUCGCUGGGCUAUGUAUCGGAUAUACAGUGUUGAAUGAGUUGGGAAACAAAUGGGUUGACAAGUUCAAAAAACAUGGGAAAAGAAACAGAAGAAGAUCUAGGUGACUGUGUCAGACUUCAUAUAUUAAAGUCAACAGGUAAACAUUUCCUUUUGAAACUAUAGUCUUUAUAUUUUGAAAAGAUUGAUGACGUUUCAAACUAAUUUUGGAUCAUAUAUACAACAUUACAAUUCCUUAAAUUAAGCAGCAGGAGUGGUGACACAGUGAUUUUGUUUUUCCUAUGCAAUAUUCCCAUAUUUGCAUGCUUAUGAGAAGUUAUAUUCUUGGUGGUUUGACUUGUAUUUCUUAUUUUGUCACAGGGAAAUGACCUCUGUCCUUAUAAGCUUCAAGUCAUUGCAUGUCAUUGGUGGCAAUGAAUCAUUUUAAGUAGAAAACCACGCAAAGUAUGAUAAUUUUUGUUUGGGUUUUUGUGCUAUAUAUUUUAUCAAACACAUGUUGGGCUUUAGGCUCGGGUGUAAUGGGUAGAUCUAUUGGUCCGGGUUUUAGUGCAGUCUGACAUUUGUUUUGUACAAAUAAUUUAUUUAUCUUUUAAUAACAGUUUUAUUACUUUAAAAAUAAGUAAAUAAAAUAUAAUGAAAAAUUAGAUAUCUUAAAAAUAUGGUCCGUUUUCCGGAGUUUACAAACAAUGUAAAACACUAUAAAUAUGAUAGCUUUUUCAAAUGAUUCUCCCAUUAUGAAACAUUUAACAGAAUUUGCAUAAAUGAAAUAUUUAUUUACAAGAAAUAAAAAUUAGCCAUGUUAUGCAUAUGAAAAACGUGAUAAUUUGCAAGUGAAAUGAGAAGCUUCAUAUUCUAAUUUUCAGGCCAACAGUCUGAGAAGAAAGCACAGAUUGGCAGAAUAAAGUUGAGAAAAGGAGAAGCAUAUGGCGAAAAGGUUAAUCCCAAAACCGAUAUGCUGCACUCGACGUUCUCUUACAUGUAGUUUGUAUCAUACGCGGAUGGUUGGAUCUUAUUAUUUUAGGAUUUAGUUUACCCAACCGUGAACUUCUGCUUUAAAUACAAUAAUCCUAUUCUAAAUUGGUAUUGGGAUUAGUCAAUUUAUUCUUUCAAUGAUAGUUUUAUUACUUUAAAAAAAUACCCUUCAAUUAAACAUUGUAUGUAAUAAUAUGAUAAUAAUAAUUAAAAUAUAAUGAAAGAAAUUAUGUCUUACAGUCUAGUAAAGGCCAACAAUGUGUCACACUAUCAUUACAAUGUACACAUACUUUGUAGAGAAAUUUAUCCAAUGAAACAGAGGAUGAAACCAGUUUCCCAGAUGCAGGGAAGAAUUGGUAUGCUACAAUAUUACUAAGAAAAAUACUAAUAACAAAAAAAUGGUAAUGGAAUCACCGUUGUUAGUUUUUAGUGUUUUUUUUUGAGGUAUUAUAUAUUUGUAUUUGACCUAUGUUUAUAAUGGUGACCAGACCUGUUAUUUAUAUUUUUGAGAUCCUAGGCGAAACAAUAAAUUAGGGUCUUGUUUAAAAAAUAUUAAAUGUAAUACAAUAAAACAAAAAAAAUAAGCCCUUUUAUUUUAUAUUUUUUUUUGCCUGCAAUAAAUCGAAAGACUUAAAAAGUUAAAAAUUUCAUGUUAAAAACUGGAAAAAGAAACUUUUUGAGCCCUAAACGGUCACACUCCAAAACUACUCUAAAGUCGGGUUGAAAACAACCCAACAAAUUCCAAUCAAAUCCCAAGCUCCAAAAUUGGAAUUAACAAAUGGAAAAACAAAAAGACGUUGGUAAAGCAAAGUAAGUGUGAAAGAUAUGAAGAGUAAGAAGAGAGUAUGAAAAUUUUGAAAAUUGUAAAUUAGGAUGACUUUAAAAUAUGGGGAAGAUUCAUGGGUUUGAAAUCAAUGAUUUUGCAGUUUCUCUUUGUUGAUUUGGUGGAUGUUUCCCACUACUUUUGCUUUUAAUGCUUCCCAUUAUAUACUUGGAAAUUGGGAUUACUUUUGCCACUCAUUUCUCAUGUUUGUUUGGCCAAUAAAGAUUAUUUGCAUAAAGCAACAAUGGGGCAAUAGGCUGCAAUAUUUCCACAUGCCUCUCAAACAUUUUACUCCAAUUUUAUGGAUUUUUUAUAUUUUUUUAAAAAAUUAACAUAUUUUUCUACCUUUCUUCUUUCUCUUCUCAUCCUCUCUUUCUCAAUCUCACCUCCCCGAAAAGAGCAAUGAAAGAAGCGACAAAAGGGUCCUUGGCUGUUUGUGAUGAUGCACUUACAUAUACUCACUUCUAUACGAUUCAUGUAAAUCCUUUCUAUAACUUAUUUCCUUGGAAGCAUUCCUCUGUUAGAGCAACUAAUCCAAAUUCUUAAAUCCAGAUACUGAAUUUUUUUUUUCUUUUCUCUCGAUUUUGUAGCAGGGGCCAAACUCCCCAAUGUCUUGGCUACCAAUCUUCUUUAAUUUAAUCGAACUCAUUUAUGGUAAGGAUGAGUUUUGGAAUGCUCUAUGAAUAUUGUGAGUUGAACAUGAGUAGCAUACUUGACAUGCAAAAUCUAAUAUCAAGAAUCUCCCUUGUGAGAUUCAUUUUUGCUUCAAUUCACAGCCAUUUGGGGUAUGUAAUUUGUCUCUAGCACUGAACUUUCAUGCCAAUAAUGCUAUAUUAUAAACAAGGGUCAUGGCUUUUCCAAGCCUUCUUUAAUAUGAAUUUACUCUUUAGUUCAGAAUUUUAUUUUCAAAUUAUUUUUGUGCAGCUUGGAAGAUAAUAUGAUGAGUUAGUGUUGAUGAAAGCCACAUUUAACAGAGUGAUUCUGCAAAGAGACACCACUGCUAGAUGUGCCUCUUUGAAACGGGACAAGCUCAAGCAAAGAUCGUUAACUUUAUCUUUGAAAACAAUGGUAAAAGUUUCUAACUAAUUAUCUUUUCCUUGACAUCUUCUUUAAUCAUGAUUGAAUUAAGUUUAAGCAUAUGAAAGACAUGACUGUUGGUAGAUAAAUGAGAAGCUUCAUAUUCUAAUUUUCAGGCUAAUGGUCUAAGAAGACAGUAAGGCGUGUUGAUUGCAGUUUGUUAUCUAUUCUAUGGAAAAGAAAACGUGCAUUGCCAACAUAAAGUACAGAAAGGAUAUGCAUAAGGUGCAAAGGCUUAUCACCGAAGCAAGUCUGCAUCUUGUUUAAGGUGGCUCAUGUUCUCUUACAUGUAAUUUGCAUGAAAUCGUAUUAUCUUAGGAUUAUACUGGAGUGCCACCAGCAGUUGACCUCACUGGCAUGUGAGACACUGUUAAGAAUCUUGACAAUGAUCUUAACAAGAUUAAUCCACUAGUUUGUAAUUUUCCCUCUAUAUUUUACCAGGAGUAUAUAACUUAUUUACUUCUAUAUCUUGCAAUUUAUGCAGCCCCUGAGCAUGGUAUAGCUUGGUGUUGGUAGACACAUCGUCCAAGAACUUACAAGAUGUUGAGAAAGCAUAGUGUCGGCAAAAUUUUUGAGUUUUAUGGUUAAGUCUAUGAUCAUAAAUCUUAACAACAGAAUGAUUUUACUAUAAACAAUUUCAGGUUUAUAGGACUUUAUCAUCAAUGUAACUAUUUUUAAUGUGGUUAUAGGAGAGGGUUUGGCUGAAUUAUCAUUAGCUAAUCAUGGUCGAGCCAUUAGGACUAAUAGCUUCAUCAUCAUCCUUUGCUGUGAUAUGACUCUGGCUUGAAUUUAAAGAAAAUAUGAAGUACUUAUAAUGAGAGAGAAAAUUACUUAGCUAAGAGAAGAAAUCAUUUACUUCAACCAAAUUAUCCCCGGUAGAAAUAAAAGCCAAAAGAAUUAAAUUCAUUCAAAACAAAAAUUGUAGGGAUUAGUUUUAUAAUUUUACUUAAAUUUUCAUUUCAACAGGAGGACGCAGGUUCGAGUACAUUGAAGUGCAUUAUCCUCUUAUUUAUGGGUUGGGGAGAGACUAUGGGUAGUUUUAAGGCAUUGUAUCAAAAUAAUAGAUUUAAUCAAAACCUAUAAUGUAAAAAGUUGCUACUAAAAAGUUUAAAAAAUAGAAUUUUUAGUUUCCUUUUGUUUAUUUAUUUAUUUUUUUCAUAAUAUCUUUUAUGUAUAUUUGAAGUGUUUUGGGUUUGAUUUUUAAUCAUUAUAAUCAAAAACCCAAUUUUGUACUAAUAAAUCACACCAUUGUUAGUUUUUAGUGUUAUCUUUUGAGGUAUUAUAUAUUUGUAUUUGACCUAUGUUUAUAAUGGUGAUCAGACCCGUUUUUGAUAUUUUUGAGACCCUAGGCGAAACAAUAAAUCAAGGUUUUGUUUAAAAAAUUAUUAAAUGUAAUACAAAAAUUAAAAAAAUUGAGCCUUUUUUAUUUUAUAUUUUUUCUGCCUGCAAUAAAUCGAAAGACUAAAAAAGUUAAAAAAAUUCACUUUAAAAAUAAAUAAAAAAAAAAACUUUUUGAGUUCUGGACGGCCACACUCUCAAACUACCUUAAAGUCAGGUUGACGGUGACUAGAAAACAACCCAACAAAUUCCAAUCAAAUCCCAAGCUCCAAAAUUGGAAUUAACAAAUAGAAAAACAAAAAGACGUUGGUAAAGCAAAGUAAGUGUGAAAGAUAUGAAGAGUAAGAAGAGAGUAUGAAAAAUUUGAAAAUUGUAAAUUAGGAUGACUUUAAAAUAUGGGGAAGAUUCAUGGGUUUGAAAUCAAUGAUUUUGCAGUUUCUCUUUGUUGAUUUGGUGGAUGUUUCCCACUACUUUUGCUUUUAAUGCUUCCCAUUAUAUACUUGGAAAUUGGGAUUACUUUUCCCACUCAUUUCUCAUGUUUGUUUGGCCAAUAAAAGAUUAAUUGCAUAAAGCAACAAUAGGGCAAUAGGCUGCAAUAUUUCCACAUGCCUCUCAAACAUUUUACUCCAAUUUUAUGUUUUUUUUUAAAUUAACAUAUUUUUAAAUUUUUAAAUUUGAUAUUUGAUCCAUAUACUUUAAAAGUUAAAAUUUCAAUUCUUCUACUUUUUUAAUUUAAAAAUCAUAAUCAAACCAUUAUCGUCGUUGAUAGUUUUUGUCAAAAUUUGUCAAUUUAAUAUGUUUAUUUCUAUCAAUCAUAUGUCACGUCAUAAGAUGACACGUUAAUCAAAAUUUUAAGUUAACAAGUUUUAUAAAAAAUACUUGCGAUUUAAUGAUUGCACUGAGAUUUUUAACUUUCUAACUUUUUAAAUAUAUGAACUAAAUCUUAAAAUAUUUAAUAAUAGAAAAUAUAAAAAAUAUUAAAAUUAAAUAAUAAUAUAGAAAUGAAAUUUUUUCUUCAAAUUUCUCAUCCAAAUACAGUCUAGAAAAGUUUUAAAGAUGAAAUUUAAAUAUAUGUUUGUUUCAAAAGUGGAAAAUUCUAUAUAUUGGAUCAUCAAAAUUUUCACUUAUUGUGUCCAUCAAUCUAGCUAAGACUUAACUUGUACACAAUAGUUCAACGUUGUUUUUGUCCAUUAUUAAUUACUUGGACAUUUGCAUACAAUGCCAAAUACUUAAUACUUAAGGCCUAUAAUAUUUCCACACUAUCAUUUUUGGUCCAAAAUUAAAGAUAUUAAAAUUUUCAAUUUAAACCAUUAUGAUUUAAAACUCGAUGUAUAAUUUUGAGAUAUAAAGUGAUUUAAUUCUUUGAUAAAUUAUAACAUAUUUACAAAUUCGAUACUCAUUAACAAAUUAAUUUUACAUUAUAAGUUAAAUUAUUUUAUAAUUUUUGUUGAGAGAGAUCAAUUUGUUAAUUUUUAAAAUUAACAGGGACUAAAGGAGUAUGUACAUCAAUCUGUUGUUUGAAUUAUUCGAGUUUUUCAUUAUAAAAUUUAACUUGAAACUCGAAUUGUAAACAUUUUUAAUAAAUAUAAAACAUAAAAAAUAUUAAAAUAAAAUAAUAAUUAAAUAAUGAUAUAGAAAUGAAAAUAUUUCUCCAAAUUUCUCACCCAUAUAUGCUCUAAGGAAGUUUCAAAGCUGAAAUUUAAAUAUGUUUCUUUCAAAAGUGAAAAAUUCUACAUAUUUUAUUAUAAAAAAAAUUCACUCAUUGUGUCUAUCAAUCUAUAAUGUGACUUGACUUGUACACAGUGGUUGAACGUUGUUUUUGUGCAAUAAAAACUUAGACAUUUGCAUGCAAUGCCAAAGACGACCUAAGACUUAAAAGUCCUAUAAUAUUUCUAACUAUCAUUUUUUCUGGUCCAAAAUUAACCCUUUGAUAAAUCAUAACAUAUUUACAACUUGGAUACAAAUUAACAAAUUGAAUUUAUAUUAUAAGUUAAAUUUUAUUUUUUUGGUGCUAAAACAAAAUUUACUUAAAAAAAUAAAUGAUGUAGAAAUAAUUAUAUAUAACAUAAAAAAUGAUAAAAUUUACCUGAGUUUGAAAUAAUUUAAAGUUAAAAUAUUUGUAACAUCGAUUUUUGUUCCUAAAAAGUCCAUACCUAAAAUAUAUAAUUUAAACUCAAAAUAUCCGUUGAAUUAUUAUCUUUGCUCAUUCUAUGCGUAAUAAUGGUUCUAAUAGGGUUUAAAGUACAUUUUUAUUGCUAUAAUUUUGUCUUUUUAAUGACUUCGAUUUAGUAAGGCGUGGACAAGAAAACUACAACAUUGGCAUUAAUAAGUUAAUGAGAUUGAUAAAAUAUUAAAAUCUCACUCUUCAAAAUUAAAAUUAGCAAAAAAAGAAAGAGGUAAGGCAAAUUAAGUGUGAAUUUAACAACUUAUUUCUAAUACUAACAAUAAAUAAUUUAUGCAUCAUCACUAACAGCUUUAAAUAAUACAUUAUUAUCCCUUGCUUUUGUAUGUUGGAAAAAAUUGACCAAAAAGACUUAACUGAAGUGGUGGAACAGCAUUUUGAUGGAGUCUUGAUUUGGCAAAAUGACUUAGAAAUUGCAUGCAUUGCCAAUCACUCAUAAAUAAGUUGUAUGCCAAACACAAUCCUCCUUCACACCCACCCAACAUGAACACUCUUCAUUCCCUUAUUUCUUCACUCUCUCUCUUCUCAUGCUUCCUUCCUCUUCUCUUGUCUUUUUCACCUCCUCAAACUCAUCUCCCAAUGCAAUGCCCUGAUGACCAGAGAUCUCCUCUGCUGCAAUUGCAACAUCAUCUUUACUAUGCCCCUCAUUUUACUUUCUCUUCCAAAUUUGAGCUUUGGGAUCCCUACACUCAUUGCUGCUCUUGGAAAGGAGUCUCUUGUGAUGCUCUUGGUUAUGUCGUUGGCGUUGAUCUUAGUAAUAGAAACCUUUCCGGCAGUUUUCACUCCAUUUUCCGUCUCCGUCAUCUUCAACGCUUGAAUCUUUCUGGAAACUACUUUAAUACCACUUUGCUUUCUUAUGGGUUUCACAAACUCCAAAAUCUAACCCAUCUCAAUCUUUCAAGCUCAUGUUUCCAUGGCCAAAUUCCAGUGGAUAUCUCAUACUUAACGAGGUUAGUCUCUCUUGAUCUAUCUAAUCAAGAUUCUUGUUAUUCGCGAUACUACAUCAUUCUUGACCCAUAUAGAGGCGUCCGCAACUACUAUGAUCCAUUGCCUUACGAACUUCAACAGCCUCUUAAAUUAGAGAAACCAAACUUCAAGACAUUAAUCAAGAAUUUGAGGUUUCUCACAGAGCUUUAUUUGGAUGGGGUAAACAUUUCAACUCAAAGUGCUAAAUGGUGUGAAACCACAUCUCUUGUACUUUCCAACCUGCGUGUGUUGAGUCUGUCACACUGUGUUUUGAAAGGUCCAUUAUGUUCUUCACUCUCAAGACUCUCUUUUCUUUCCAACCUUAUCCUUGAUUGGAACCCAAUCUCUUAUUUACCUCCCAAUUUCUUGGAAAUUUCGUCUCAUUUGGUUUCUCUCAGUUUAAUGGGUUGCAAUUUGAGUGGCCAUUUUCCAACUGAAAUUCUCUUAUCGCCAAAAAUUCAAAGCAUUGACAUUUCAGCUAAUUACCAACUUAUGGGUCAGUUGCCAGAAUUUCCAGCAAACAAUGCUUUACAGAUUUUGUCACUUUUUUAUACAAAUUUCAGUGGAAAACUACCUGAGUCGAUUGGUAAUCUUAAGUUCCUGACAAACUUAGAGCUUUCUUAUUGUAAUUUUGCUGGACCCAUUCCAUCGUCAAUUGCAAAUCUUAGUCAACUGGUGAACUUGGAUCUAAGAUUAAAUGUUAUGGUUUCAUUAACGGUCACAUCUUUGUUUAUAUUUCUGUUAAGACUGUUAAAAUAAUACUUAGUUAAACGCUGCGUUUCAUUUAAGUGGCUUAGUGAUACGGUGAGUUUUACUUAGUCAAAACGGAUGCGUUUUGUCUAUUGCAGUAUAGCGGUUAUGGUUGUCCAUAUAUGAUUUGUGACCGAAAAGGAAAGGCAGGCAAUUUUGAAUCCUGUUUUCAGUCUCUAUUUCUUCCUACUGUUUUUUUUCUCUCUGAAUUUUCUCUCUUAUUCUCAUUUCAAUCCCGAUCUCAAUUUAUUCUUCAACAUUAAACAAGCUUUCUGGAUCAAUACAUUCUUCUUUAUUUACUCUUCCAUCGUUGAAGAUCUUGAAUCUUGGAGACAAUCAAUUGGUUGGGAAAAUUGAUGAGUUCCCCAAUGCAUCUUCUUCUUUGAUUGAAGUACUAUAUAUAGGCAAUAAUUAUUUAACAGGACCAAUCCCAAAGUCAAUCCUUCAACUUCCAAGGCUUGAAUGGCUUUAUAUCAAAAGCAAUAGCUUCAGUUCCAUGAAGCUUGACAUGUUUGUCCAACUUAAGAACUUAAAGCGUCUCUACUUAUCCAACGUAAGCUUGUUAAUUGAAAGCGACAACAGAAGUCUUACUUUUCCCCAAUUAGAGAGCCUAGGGCUAAGGUCAUGCAACCUUACUGAAUUUCCAGAAUUCAUUAAAAGGCAACACAAGUUGGUUCACUUAGAUCUUUCUAAUAACCAUACCCAUGGUUUUGUGCCCAAUUGGUUGUGGAAGAGCAGUCUUUCAUGGGUGGACCUUUCUUUCAAUGUGAUUGAUUUUCCAAAACAGCUUCCCUUAAAUGAUGCAAACUUCUCAUAUGUUGGCAGACUUGGAUUUGAGAUCCUGCAACAUAAGUGCGUUUCCAGAGUUCAUCAAAACACAAGACAAGUUGGUUGACUUAGAUCUUUCUAACAAUCAUAUCCAUGGUGUUGUGCCUCAUUGGUUCUGGAAGAGCAGCCUUUCAAGGGUAAACCUUUCUUUCAAUGUGAUUGAUUUUCCAAAACAGCUUCCCUUAAAUGAUGCAAACUUCUUAUUUCCAAUGUUGACAAGAUUGGAUUUGAGAUCCUGUAAUAUAAGUGCGUUUCCAGAGUUCUUAAAGAGUCAAAAAAAAUUUAGAAGAAUUCGACGCAUCUUAUAAAAAUUUGAGUGGCCCAAUUUCAAAUUGGUUAUGCAAUAUGAGUCUACUUUACACUUUCGAUGCAUCUUGUAACAAUUUGAGUGGCUCAAUUUCAAAUUGCUUGGUCAAUAUGAGUCAACUUGACACUUUCGAUGUAUCUUAUAACAAUUUGAGUGGCCCAAUUCCAAAUUGCUGGGGCAAUAUGAGUGCUCUGAUUUUGUUGCGUUUGCAAGGAAAUAACUUCAGUGGAAUGUUACCAAAAUUUUCAACAGCAACCCAACUGCAAUUUCUGAAAGUUAGUGAGAAUAGACUGGAAGGGAAGUUGCCUAGAUCAUUAGCUGAAUGCACUCAGCUUGAAGUUUUGGACGUGGGAAAGAACAAGAUGAAUGAUACAUUCCCUUUUUGGUUGGAGAAAUUGCCCUACUUGAGGGUUCUAAUAUUGCGGGAAAACAGAUUUUAUGGUCAAAUUAAACAUUUCAAACAUAAAUCUGUUUUCCCAACUUUGGAUGUCUGGGACAUUGCUUCAAACCAGUUUUCUGGUGAACUAUCCAUUGAUUUCCUUCAACCCACUCGACUAAGGUCACUCAAAAUAGGUGGGAAUAAAUUGGAAGGGAAGCUGUCGAGAUCAUUAGCCAAUUGCACAGCACUUGAGGUUCUGGACCUCGGAAAUAAUAUGGUUCAUGAUACAUUCCCAUUUUGGUUAGAGAAGCUACCUUCCUUGAAGGUUCUCGUUUUGCGAGCAAACAGAUUCUACGGCACAAUUUCAAAAAUCGACACGGAAUGUGGGUUUCCAAAGCUACGCAUAUUGGACAUUGCUUCCAACCAUUUUUCAGGUGACUUGUCCAUUGAAUUUUUGCAGAGUUUGAAGGCAAUGGCGAAGAUGACUAAUGACGAAAAGGCUAAGCGGGUUUACAUUGGGGACGUCUAUUAUAAAGACUCUGUGACAAUUGUUAACAGGGGGGUUGAACUAUUUUACCAAAAAAUCUGAACUGUUCUUACUUGUCUUGACCUUUCCAACAAUAGUUUCCAUGGGAGAAUACCAGAAGAGAUACAAAUGCUGAGGUCACUCAGAGUGAUGAACUUAUCCAACAAUGGCUUUUCUGGUGAAAUCCCAUUAGCACUUGAAAAUCUAAAAGAUCUUGAAUCUUUGGAUCUCUCACAGAAUGAGCUGUCAGGGAAGAUUCCUGCACAACUUACAAGUUUAACUUUCUUAGCAGCAUUGAACUUGUCUUACAACCAACUCGAAGGGAUUAUACCGCAAAGCAACCAAUUCAUUACAUUUACAAAUGAUUUUUACCGUGGGAACCCAAAAUUGUGUGGGCUGCCAUUGUCAAGGAAAUGCAAUGAAGUUGGUCUUCCAAUGCCACCACCUCCAGGGGAAGAUGAAGAUUCAUGGUUAUAUGCUGUGUCUACUUGGAAAAUUGCGUUGAUAGGUUAUGCUAGUGGAUUAGUGGUUGGGCUAUGUAUUGGAUAUACAGUGCUGAAUGAGUUGGGAAACAAAUGGGUUAACAAGUUCAAAAAGUGUGGUAAAAGAAAUAGAAGAAGAUGUAGGUGACUCCAUCAGAAUUCUUGCUUCAAAAUUAGCUGGUAAGCGUUUGUCUUUCUAAUUUGAACAGAUAGUUGUUGAUUUAUAUAUAUAGGUUUUCAUAACCUCAUUUUUUUGCUGUCUUUACUAAGUUCACUGUCAUAUCGUACUUGUAAUUUGAUGUUACCAUUGAGCAAUGCAGGAGGUACUUGAAGCAGGACAUGGAAUGUACAAUUGUGAGGUUCAUGAAGAAUGUAGGCAAUGAUCCUAACAAGAUCAAUCCACUGGUUUGUAAUUUUGCUUUAUAUGCACUUUUUUCCUGUUGUAGUUUUCCAUGAGUAUAAAUAAGUGUUUAUUCAUUUUGCAUCCAGGUACCUGUGGAUUUGGGGGAUGCAAUGUUUCAGUGCUACUGAAUUUCCAUGCUAAUAAUGAUAUUAUAAACAAGGAAAUGGCUGCCGAAGCUCUCUUUUAUAUAUAAUUUACUUUUACUUCAAAUUUUUUUAUCUUCAGAAUAUUUGUACAGCUGAGGAGAUUUGAUGGCAUGAUGUUGAUGAAAGUCAUACCUAAUGGACAUUGGAUUGAUUGUGUAAAGAGACGCAGAUGCUGCUACUUCCAUCCUUUGCUCUUCCAAAUAGACAUUAGCUUUAUAUUUUAUCAAUUACGUGUUGGGCUUUAGGAUCGGGUGUAAAGGGUGGACCUGUUGGUCCGGGUUUUAAUUCAGCCCGACACUUAUUUUUAUACUAGUUUAUUUAUUGUUUCAGUGAUAGUUUUAUUAAUUUCAAAAAAUAUGGUUGAAUUAGGUAAUAAUAUGAUAAUAAUAAUAAUAAUAAUUAAAAUUUAAUGAAAUAAAUUAUGUCUUAAAAUCUAGUAUGUUUUCCAAUGUUAGCCAAAGGCCAACAAUAUCUCACACUAAUAUUUUCUUUGUUAGUCCGAAAUUAAAAAUUUCAAAUUAGAAUGUUAUUUAUAGUUUGAGGACUUAAUUAAAUUUUUAUUUUUAAAUUUAGAGGUCAAUUUUAAAUUUAAUCCAUAAUUUAAGGAAUUAAUCCUUUGCUAAAUCCUAACAUAUUUAUAAGUUCCAUACUCAUUAAUAAAUUAGUACUAAAAAUGCUCAUUUGGAUUUAGACAAAAGUAAAUUAUGAUAAAAAUUAAAAUAUAUGAAAGAAAUGAUGCCUUAUAAUGUGGUGUGUGGCAAACAAUCUAAAACAUUAGAAAUAAAUAUGUGACCUUAAUAAAGAAAAUCAAUUCUCUUAUUGUAAAACAUUUAUAAGAAUUAAUUCAAGGGACAAUUUUAUCAUUGUAAAACAUUUAAAAGAAUUUAUUUAAGGAAAAAGAUGGUAUAAAACUGUGAUUUCACGUUAUCUCUAUCCCUUCCUAAUAGAAGAGGAAUGACAAAUUAGAUUUUUAUUCUGAUUUGUAGCAUUUUUAAUUAGAUUUGAAUUUUUCUAAGAGGAAAAAGUUAAAAAUCAAGAGAAAAAAUCUGAUUUGUUAUUCUCCUAUUAGAGAGGGAUAAGGAUGACAUGGAAUCACAGUUUUAUACAAUCCAUUCUCUUUGUUCAAAUAUUUAUUUACAAAAAAUAAAAAUUAUAUGUUGCUUAAUCUCAUAGUGUUUUAAUUGGCUUGAUAAACUUUGAAAAAAAAAUUUUAAUUGAAAUUAAUUUUUUCCACUACUUGAGCCCAUCAAUCCAUCUCAACUACCUAAGAAACUUGCUAAACAUUAUUUUCAUGGGGUAAAAAAGAUUUAGACAUUUGCAUGCAGUGCCAAAAGGCUAAGACCUGAGUCCAAUAAUAUCUCAUACCAUAAAUUUUUUGGACCCAUUCCAUCGUCAAUUGCAAAUCUGGUCAACCUAUAUCUGGGAGGGAACAUGCUUUCUGGAUCAAUACAUUCUUCUUUCACUCUUCCAUCAUUUAAGACCCUGUCUCUUGGAGAAAAUCACUCGGUUGGGAAAAUUCUGCCCGGCCCAUAAAUGAAACCCAAAUAAAUAAAAAUCCAAUGUAAGUCCAAGUCCAUUACAGAAAAAAAUAUCAGACACAAAUUUAAAAGGCCCGAAAGCCUAAAAAAAAAAAUAUAGUAGCUAACCGAACCCAAGCCGCCGCUCCUCCCACGUCAGCCACCAACUACUCCUGCAAGGAAAAGACAGAAUCAGAAGCAAUAACAGUGAAAAAAUAUAAAAAUUGUAUGAAACGGCUAUAAAAGCCAUUUGGACAGAUUUGUAAGGGGCUUUUUUGUUUUUGAAGAAAAAAAGGGGAAAAAGAAAUAAAAGAAACAAAAAAAAAACUUUCAAAAGGUGAUCUUUUUUCUCUUAUUUAUUUAUUUUGAAAAAAGAACAAAAAAAGAAAAAAAAAAUCAAAACUUUCUUAUUUUUUCGGACGGUGAUCGACAGAUCUAAGCUCGGGAGGCCGAUAGAGAGAGGAAAGUAAAAAGGAAAAUUUUACCACGAAAUUUUAAUUUUAUUUCAUUUUAGUCCUGCAUAAGGGCAAAGGAUAUUUUCCUAUUCGGUCCAUGUUUUUUUAACGUGUUACAUUUGAAUCCUUAUUAGCCUAUUUUUAUUUACAAUGUAUACCCCUUAAUUUUAUUCCAAUUUCAAUACGAUCCUUAGUUUAUUUAACUUCAAAUUUUUUUUACAAACUGUUUCAUUUAUUAUUUAUUUAUUUUCAAUUUUUAAUCAAUUUUUUUACAUUAUUUAUUUAUUUACUUAUUGUUCCUUUUGUUUUUAUUUUUAAUUGGCUUGCUUUUUGUAUUUUCCUUUUAUUGUGCAUUUUUUUAUUUUGCCUUUAUUAUUGUUAUUAUUCCAUUAUUUAUUACCUUUUAUGUACUUAGAAAAAUAGAUUAUUUAUUAUUAUUGUUAUUAUUAUUGUUGUCAUUUAUAUUAUCAUUUUCAUUAUUAUUAUUAUUAUUUGUUUAUGCAUAUUAAUAUUAUUAUUGCUAUACUUUUAUAUUUUAUUAUGCAUAUUAUUAUACCGUUAUUAUAAAUUGGUGUUGCGUUAUUAUUAUUUUUCAUUAUAUUAUUAAAUAAAAUAUCAAUCAUAUUAUAGUCAUUAUCGUUAUUAUUAUAAUCAAUUUGUGUUGCAUUAUUACUAUUAUAUUAACGUGAUCUCAACUACCUACUUAUUAUCAUUUUUACCAUGACCAUUUCGAUUUCUUUUCUCUUUAUUCGUGUAGCCAUUUUAUUUUUAUUUUAGACCUAACCAUAUUUUCCCUUAGGUUUAGAUAUAUUUAUUUGCUCCUCACUAUGGCCCAAUCUCGUAUUGUGUUAAAUAGUGAAUCCGUUUUUUACACAACUUAUAAGAAAUAAUUAAAAUUAGGGCUGUAAUAGGCCAUUUUAGCCCGGGCCCAAAUACAUAAACCUUAAAAUAAAAAUACAAUAAAUUACAAACCCAUUUUUAACCCAAUAACACCCCGACCCAAUAGCUGAAUUAAAAGCCCAUUUUUUGUGACCCAAUUACAGAGUGGCCCAAACAAAACAAAAUCAGAAACCCUAGCAGUUAGCAAGCCAGCGCCGCAACUGCCCACGUUCUUCUCUCACAACAACGCCCCAAGUCGCAGCAAUCUCCAGCUCUACAUCACUCCACGUUCAGCACUCGCGCACGCCACACGUUUGUACCUGCAAUAACCACGAACAGUAAAAGGUGGAAAAGAGGUUCUCGGGGGUUUUUUUUUCUUUUCGUUAUUUUGGCUAUUUAAAGCCAAAUCAAAUCUGUAAAAGGGUUACACACACAUAUAUCGAAAAACUGUAAUAGGGGUUAGCAAAUUUUUUGCUGAAAACUGAAAAAGAAAUACCAGAGAAAGAAAAAACAUUUUGAAGGUGACGAAUUCAGGUUUCUUUUCCUUGCUUCUUUUUACUGUUUUUAUUCUUUUAUCUUGUUUUUCUUUGAUUUCUUUGAAUAACAAAAAGGGAUAAGGGGAAAAUAGGAGGGCUUACUGUUUUUUGGAGGCGAUUGAAGGCCUCUUUUCGCCGUUGUCUGGUCGGAGUCGGAGCGGCAGAGAAGGGGACUUUGAGAGGAGUUGCGGCGCACCACAAAAAUGGCAGAGAAAGGGAAUGGCUUUAGGGUUUUAAAAUGGGCUUUUAUAGGGGUUCAAAAGGGGCCAUUUGCGCGAUUGGUCCUUUGCUUUUUGGGGUUGUUUAAAUUAAAUUUAUAUUUCCUUUAAAUUUUACUGCAUGUUUUAUAAUUGUUUUAAAUUGGUCCUAUGCUGCGCAACAUUGUAGGUUUGGGUAAAUGUCUCGUUCAGUCCUCCCCCUGUUGUGCGUGUUUUAAUUUACUCCCUUUCAUGUUAUUUUGUAAUUAGCUUUUUAAAUUCUGUUGAUUUUUUUUUAAUUUAAUCCUUAAUUUAUUAUUUUUAGUUUUUAUUAUAUUGUCAAUAUGGUUCAUUGACGUUAUUAUUACUGUAUGGUUAUUAGUUCAUUAUUAUAUGUUAUAUUAUUAUUAUAUUUAUUUAUAUGCGCAUAUGCCUCUUAAUAUACACAUAUACCUUUUUAAAAUGUUUUAAAUAUAUACUAUAUACAUAUCAUAUAUUUUAUUAUUAUUUUAUUUUUCUUAGCUUUAUAUUCGUAUGUAUGCGUAUAUAUUUUUAUAAUAUUUAUAUUUUUUAUACCUUAUGAUCCAAAAAUAAAUAUUUUUUAUAAUAUAUAUACACAUAUACCUAUGUUAUUCCAUAUUUUUAUAAAUAUAUCCGUUAAAUUAUAUAUAUAUAUACAUACAUAUGUCAAUAUUUUUUAUAAUUACUAAAUAUUAUGCUUAUAUUUUAGUUUUUAUAAACUUUAUAUAUAUACAUAUAUUUAUUUAUUUAUUUAUUUAUUUAUUUAUUAUGUUUAUUAUUUUUGUAUACAUGAAUAUAUAUGCAUCAAUAUUUUGUCAUACUUUAAAAAAAUAAAUAUUUUGAUUUUAUCAAAACAUUAAAAUUAUUUUUAUGAUUCAAAGGUUUUCAAAAUAAAAAACGAUAUUCAAAGUUAGGGAUUUUCGAGGAAAAUUGAGCCCUAACGCAUUGGGUUCCGAUUUUCUUUGUUAAUUCCAAAUGACCGAGAAUAUUUGUUAUUUAAAAUAUAUAAGUAAAAAUCAUUUUUGGAACUUAAUUUGUUAUGUCCUAACGUAUUGGGCAUGACAUAAUUGCUUCCUCGAAACGAAUAUUUACUUAUAAGGCAAAAGUGAUAUUCAAAAUUCAGGGAUUUUGAGAAAUUGUACCCUAACGUAUUGGGUCUCAAUUUCUUCACAUGACUUGAAUAAUUGAUUAUCCUUUUCAGAUUUCAUCAUUUGAAUUUUAAAAAUCUUUUUAACCCUCGACAUUAAGAUAUUAAAUAAUCAAUUUGGUACCGAUUUUUGGGCGUUACGAGGGUGCUAAUCCUUCCUCGUGCGUAACUGACUCCCGAACCUGUUUUCUCAAAUUUCGUAGACCAGAGUCGUUUUUAAGGUGAGCCGAUCACACCUCAAUAAAGGAUCGGUGGCGACUCCAAUUUUUGUUUUUUAAAGUCGACAACUAAAUUUUUGUUUUCAAAAAAGAUGGUUUCGACAAGGACAAUGUUUUGUAUUUGGGGAUUCAAGAAGUCGUACCCUAACUUACGGGGCUUGGCUUUCUUGUUAAACUUAGAUGACCAAAUAUCUUUUUAAAAUUAAAACACGUGAAAUUUAUAUAAUAAUUUAAAUAAAGAGCAAGCUUAUUUUCAAAGAUUUGAGAUGUCGUAUCCUAAUUUACGGGAUAUAACCUUUUGUUACCUCGAGAUAAGAGGGCCUUUUACAUAUAUUUUUGAUUUAUUCAAGUGAUUUUUAGUAACAUGAUGCAAAGUGCGAUCAUGUUUUAAACUCUCUUCAAUUUUUUUAAUUCAUGACACUAAGACUUUAAUUAAUCAACUAAGUACUAAUUUUAAAUGUCGCAAGGGUGCUAAUCCUUCUUCGUGCGUAAUUGACUCCCGAACCCGUUUCUUGAAUUUUGUAGACCUUAAAUAUUUAUUUUAGAAAAUCAAAGCGAUCAAAUUACGAGGUGACCCGAUCACUUCGACAAUGACUACAAGCAUUUUUUCUCACAAAGUUCACUAUCAUAUCAUAUUGUAUUUGUUCUUGUGGCAAUGAAAAAUUUACCUUGUUGAAGUGCAUAGGUACUUGAUCCAAGACAUGGAAUGAACAGUUACGAGGUACAUGAAGAAUCUAGGCAGUGAUCCCAACAAUGAUCCUAACAGCUGAGGAGAUUUAAUAGCUUGAUGCUGAUGAAAGCCUUAUCUAAUGGACAUUGGACUAAUUGUGUAAAGAGAUGCAGAUGUUGCUACUCCCACCCUUUGCUCUUCCAAAGAGACAUUAGCUUUAUAUUUUAUUAAUCAUGUGUUGGGCUUUAAGUCCGGGUGCAAAGGGUAGACCUGUUGAUUCGGGUUUUAGUUCAGCCCAACACUUGUUUUUACAGUAGUCUAUUUAUCUUUUUUAAUGAUAAUUUUAUUACUUUGAAAAAUACCAUUCAAUUAAACUUUGUGUGUAAUAAUAUGGUAAAAAUAAGAAUUAAAAUAUGGUGAAAGAAAUGUCAUCUUAGAAUCUGGUAUGCUUUCCAAUGUUAGCCAAAGGCCAACAAUAUCUCACACUAUUAUUUUCUUUGUUAAUCCAAAAUUAAAAAGUUCAAAUUAGAAUGUGAUUUAGAGUUUGAGGACUUAAUUAAAUUUUUUUUAAGUUUAGAGUUCAAUUUAAAAUAUAAUCCAUAGUUUAGGGACAUCAAGUGAAUUAACCCUUUGAUAAAUCCUAACAUAUUCAUAAGUUGCAUACUCAUUAAUAAAUUAGGACUAAAAUGCUUAUUGGUAAAUUGAUUUCACAUAUAAGUUAAUUUAUUUUUGGGUGCUAUACCAAAGUUUAAUUAAAAGAUUGUAAUGCUACACUUCUACAUUUAAAAAAAUUAAAUUAUAUAUAAGCAAUUAUGAUAUAAAAUCAAGGCAGCCCGCAUCUAAAAUAUUUUAAGCAUCAAACACAUGAAAAAAAAUCCAAACCCAAAUAUUUUAAGCAUCCAAAACAUUGGCAUUGGCAUCAAUAAGAACACUUGGAUUGGAUAAUGAAAAAAAAAUCCAAUCUCAACUAUUUAACAACGACAUGUUUAUUAUAUGAUUUUCAAUACAAAAUCAGAUAAUUAAUCCGACUCUGUUGAGUUAACUCAUACUUAUAAUGUUCAAUUAAAUGAUUUUUUCAAAAAAAAAUUAAUUGUUUAUAUUUCGAAUCCAAUUCAACCAAUAAAAAGCCAGUUAUAUUUGAAUGCGAAUGCAAAGCAGUGGAUAUAACGUAAGGGACUCAAUCCAAUUUGGCAUUCUAAAUGAUGUCUUAAUUACAAUGUGGUGUGCUUUCCAGAGUUGGCAAACAACCUAAAGCACUUCUUUAAUUUAUCUUUGAAAAGUGAUAAAAAUAUUAAUAACUAAAAUUAAAAAACUGCAAGAACCAUUAUCUUUCACAAAUUAUUCAAAAUCAUAUGGUAUUUGUAGUCGUUGGCUUAUAUUUUGAAAAGAUUGAUGUUACAAACUAACUCUGAAUUUCCUAAGCUUAUUUUUUGUCCCUUGACACACUUCGCUAUCAUAUGGUAUUUGUAGUCGUAGGCUUGUAGCAUUGACAUUCAUUUUAUCAUUUCGCAAUGCAAGAGGUACUGAAACAGGCUAAGCUGAAACGGCUCAUUAGGUUUGCAACUCCAAAAGACUCUUCGAAAAGAGCAAUGAAAGAAGCGACAAAAGGGUCCUUGGCUGUUUGUGAUGAUGCACUUACAUAGACUCACUUCUAUAUGAUUCAUGUAAAUCCUUUCUAUAACUUAUUUCCUAGGAAGCAUUCCUCUGUUAGAGCAACUAAUCCAUAAUUCUUAAAUCCAGAUACUGAAAUUCUUUUUUUUUCUCUCGAUUUUGUAGCAGUGGCCAAACUCCCCAAUGUCUUGGCUACCAAUCUUCUUUAAUUUAAUCGAACUCAUUUAUGGUAAGGAUGAGUUUUGAAAUGCUAUAUGAAUAUUGUGAGUUGAACAUGAGCAGCAUACUUGAUAUGCAAAAUCUAAUAUCAAGAAUCUCCCUUGUGAGAUUCAUUUUUGCUUCAAUUCACAGCCAUUUGGGGUACGUAAUUUGUCUCUAGCACUGAACUUUCAUGCCAAUAAUGCUAUAUUAUAAACCAGGAUCAUGGCUUUUCCAAGCCUUCUUUAAUAUGAAUUUACUCUUUAGUUCAGAAUUUUAUUUUCAAAUUAUUUCUGUGCAGCUUGGAAGAUAAUAUGAUGAGUUGAUGUUGAUGAAAGCCACAUUUAACAGAGUGAUUCUGCAAAGAGACACCACUGCUAGAUGUGCCUCUUUGAAACAGGACAAACUCAAGCAAAGAUCGUUAACUUUAUCUUUGAAAACAAUGGUAAAACUUUCUAACUAAUUAUCUUUUCCUUGACAUCUUCUUUAAUCAUGCUUGAAUUAAGUUUAAGCAUAUGAAAGACAUGAUUGUUGGUAGAUAAAUGAGAAGCUUCAUGUUCUAAUUUUUAGGCUAAUGGUCUAAGAAGACAGUAAGGCGUGUUGAUUGCAGUUUGUUAUCUAUUAUAUGGAAAAGAAAACGUGCAUUGCCAACAUAAAGUACAGAAAGGAUAUGCAUAAGGUGCAAAGGCUUAUCAUCGAAGCAAGUCUACAUCUUGUUUAAGGUGGCUCAUGUUCUCUUACAUGUAAUUUGCAUGAAAUCUUAUUAUCUUAGGAUUAUACUGGAGUGCCACCGGCAGUUGACCUCACUAGCAUGUGAGACACUGUUAAGAAUCUUGACAAUGAUCUUAACAAGAUUAAUCCACUAGUUUCUAAUUUUCCCUCUAUAUUUUACCAGGAGUAUAUAACUUAUUUACUUCUAUAUCUUGCAAUUUAUGCGGCCCCUGAGCAUGGUAUAGCUUGGUGUUGGUAGAUUCACAUCGUCCAAGAACUUACAAGAUGUUGAGAAAGCAUAGUGUUGGCAAAAUUUUUUAGUUUUAUGGUUAAGUCUAUGAUCAUAAAUCUUAAGAAUAGAAUGAUUUUACUAUAAAAAAAUCAGGUUUAUAGGACUUUAUCAUCAAUGUAACUAUUUUUAAUGUGGUUAUAGGAGAGGGUGUGGUUGAAUUAUCUUUAGCUAAUCAUGGUCGAGCCAUAGUUGCAGACAUGGGACCUGAAUAAUGUGCAACCAUGGGUUGUCUUUCCUGUGGAUCAUACAGCCUUGCAAUUCCUUAAUUUAACCAGCAGGAGUGGUGACACAGUUCAUUCUCUGCGUGGUGAUGACUCCAACAAGGUUUUAUGUUAUUAUUGCUACUAUUUUGUCUUUUUAAUAAUUUAGAUAUAAGAAAAUUUUCAUAUAUAUAUAGAAUAAGGAUGAGACAGAAAGACUAAAAUAUUGGCAUCAAUAAGAACACUAAGACCAAUAAAAUCUCAUUUCAAAAUUAGAAUUGAAAAAAUAUAUAUAUAAAAAAUUGAAGAUGCAAAGCAAAUUAAGUGUGAAUUGAAAACCUUAAUGCUAAGACUAAGAAUAAAUAAUUCAUCCAUUAAGACUAAUAGCUUCAUCAUCAUCCUUUGCUGUGAUAUGACUCUGGUUUGAAUUUAAAGAAGCAAAUAUGAAGUACUCAUAAUGCGAGAGAAAAUUACUUAGCUAAGAGAAGAAAUCAUUUACUUCAACGAAACUAUCCCCGGUAGAAAUAAAAGCCAAAAGAAUUAAAUUCAUUCAAAACAAAAAUUGUAGGGAUUAGUUUUAUAAUUUUACUUAGAUUUUUAUUUUAACAGAAGGACGUGGGUUCGAGUACGCCGAAGUGCAUUAUCCUCCUAUUUAUGGAUUGGGAAGAGACUGGGUAGUUUUAGGCAUUGUAUCAAAAAAAGAAAUUUUUAGAGCCCUAGACGGCCACACUCCCAAACUACCCUAAAGUCGGGCUGAUGGUGACUAGAAAACAACCCAACAAAUUCCAAUCAAAUAUCAUGCUCAAAAUUGGAAUUAACAAAUGGAAAAACAAAAAGACAUUGGUAAAGCAAAAUAAGUGUGAAACAUAAAGAAAUUGAUAUGAAGAGUAAGAAGAGAGUAUGAAAAAUUUUAAAAUUGUAAAUUAGGAUGACUUUAAAAUAUGGGGAAGAUUCAUGGGUUUGAAAUCAAUGAUUUUGCAGUUUCUCUUUGUUGAUUUGGUGGAUGUUUCCCACUACUUUUGCUUUUAGUGGUUACCAUUAUAUAAUUGGAAAUUGGAAUUACUUUUGCCACUCAUUUCUCAUGUUUGUUUGGCCAAUAAAAGAUUAAUUGCAUAAAGCAACAAUAGGGCAAUAGGCUGCAAUAUUUCCACACGCCUGUCAAACAUUUUACUCCAAUUUUAUGUAUUUUUUUAAAAAAUUAACAUAUUUUUUAAUUUUUAAUUUUAACAUUUGAUCCCUAUACUUUAAAAGUUAAAAAUUCAAUUCUUCUACUUUUUCAAUUUAAAAAUCAUAAUCAAGCCAUUAUCAUCGUUGAUAGUUUUUGUCAAAAUUUAUCAGUUUAAUAUGUUUAUUUUUAUCAAUCAUAUGUCACGCCAUAAGAUGACACGUUAAUCAAAAUUUCAAGUUGACAAGUUUUACAAAAAAUACUUGCGAUUUAAUGAUUGCACUGAGAUUUUUAACUUUUUAAAUAUAUGAACUAAAUCUUAAAUUUGACCAAAAUACAAGAACUAACAACAUAUUUUAACCAAAAUUUAAAUAGUUUGCACAUUGAAUCAUCAUAACUAAUUUAAGGAUUUAAUUAAAAUAUUUCAAAAAAUUUCCAUAUUACCUUUACUUUUGUAAAUAAUGAUAUGCAUUGGAAUUAAUUAUUAAGUAAAAGGAUAAUGUUUUAUGGAAACUACAAAUUUAUGUAUAAAAUGUUGCAUGAAAAUAAUCCUUCUUCAUACCCAACCAACAUGAGACUCCAUUUCCUUGUUUCACCUUUUCUACCUUUCUUCUUUCUCUUCUCAUCCUCUCUUUCUCAAUCUCAUCUCCCCCAAAAAUGUAAAAUAAAAAAAAUAUUUUAAUUUUUAAAAAAUAUAAAAUUUUGGAAUUUUUAUGAAUAUUUUGAAUUUUAAAAAUUAUUUUGAAUAUUUUGAAAAUUAUUUUAAAUUAUUUUGUAAUUUUGGUUGAGAGAGAUCAAGUUGUUAAAUUUUAAAAUUGACAAGGACCAAAGGAGCAUGUACACCAAUUUUUUGUUUGAAUUAUUCAAGUUAUUUAAAUUGUAAAAUACAACUCGAAAUCAAAUUAUAAAUAUUUUUAAUAAUAUAAAACAUAAGAAAUAUUAAAAUUAAAUAAUAAUAUAGAAAUGAAAUUUUUUCUCCAAAUUUCUCCUCCAAAUACAGUCUAAGAAAGUUUGAAAGCCGAAAUUUAAAAAUGUUUCUUUUAAAAGUGAAAAGUUGUAUAUAUUGUAUCAUCAAAAUUUCCACUCAUCCAACUAAGAAACUUACUAUAAUUUUGUCUUUAUAAUGUGACUUGAUUUGUACACAAUGGUUGAACGUUGUUGAUAAUACUCUGGAAUGACAUAUCUUUAUAUAUUAAUUACAUAUAUAUUUUAUUUUGAGUAUGAUCCUACUAAAUUGAGCUAUUUAUGGUUUUUAUAUUGUAGGGACUAAAUUGAAGGAAAAAUAAAAUUUAGGGGCAAAAAUCAUGAAUUUGAAGAUAAAAUGGGUCAGGAUGCAAAAUAGGAAAGAAAUGGUGCCGAAAAUGCAAAGUGUGGAAAACUUGGGGGCAAUAGUUCAAAAAAGAGAUUUUAUAAACACAAGACUCUAUUUGAAUUUUAAUUAUAUUAGGAUUAUUGUUAAGAUUAUUAUUUAGAUUUAAUUCUAGCUUUUAUCUUUAUUUAUCUUUUAGAAUUUAGAAAGGAAUAAACUAGGUCUUUUGAGUACUAUAAAUAGGGGAUGGAGUGACAUAGAUUUAACUCAUCUUUUCUGUAAAAGCUCUCUCUCCCAAAAAGCUUUAGCAUUUGUUUCUUUCAUUUAUUCAAUAAAAUUUCAUUUUUAUUAAGUUUAUUUAUUUUUCCCCAAAAAGCAUGAGCCAUUAAAUUCAUUUAGCCAAAUGUUGUCGAGAUUCCCCAAAAAGGGUUCAUGAGGCUUAGAAUCCGCACUUAGCCUUCUCAACAAAUGUUUAUCGUUUCUCCGUACUACGGGACUGACGCUUCCGUCCAUGUCCCUUCAAAAGUGAUCUUUUCAUCUUAAAAAAUUGAUUUUAUAUUAUAAGUUAAAAUUUAUAUUUCUGGUGCUAUAACAAAGUUUACUUAAAAAAUUAAAUUGUAAUUUUUUUAUUUAAAAAAAAUUAAAUGAUGUAGAAAUAAUUAUAUAUAACAUAAAAAUGAUAAAAUUUACCUGAGUUUAAAUAAAUUAAAGUUAAAAUAUUUGUAAUUUUUUGUGCUAAAAAGUCGAUACCUAAAAUAUAUAAUUUAAACUCAAAAUAUCAGUUGAAUUGUCAUCUUUGCUCAUUCUAUGCGUAGUAAUGGUUCUAAUAGGGUUUAAAGUGCUAUAAUUUAGUCUUUUUUAAUAACUUAGAUUUAAAUGAUUAUUUAUAUAGAGUAAGGAGUGGGCAAGAAAACUACAACCUUGGCAUUAAUAAUUUAAUGAGAUCCAUAAAAUAUUAAAAUCUCAUUCUUCAAAAUUAAAAUUAACAAAAAGGAAAGACAUAAAGUAAAUUAAGUGUGAAUUUAACAACUUAUCUCUAAUACUAACAAUAAAUAAUUUAUGCAUCAUCACUAACAGCUUUAAAUAAUAAAUUAUUAUCCUAUGUUGGAAAAAAUUGACCAAAAAGACUAAGUGGUGGAACAGUAUUUUGAUGGAGUCUUGAUUUGGCAAAAUGACUUAGAAAUUGCAUGCAAUGCCAAUCACUCAUAAAUAAGUUGUAUGCCAAACACAAUCCUCCUUCACACCCACCCAACAUGAACACUCUUCAUUCCCUUAUUUCUUCACUCUUUCUCUUCUCAUGCUUCCUUCCUCUUCUCUUGUCUUUUUCACCUCCUCAAACUCAUCUCCCAAUGCAAUGCCUUGAUGACCAGAGAUCUCCUCUGCUGCAAUUGCAACAUCAUCUUUACUAUGCCCCUCAUUUUACUUUCUCUUCCAAAUUUGAGCUUUGGCACCCCAACACUGAUUGUUGCUCUUGGGAAGGAGUCACUUGUGAUGCUUAUGGUCAUGUCGUUGGCAUUGAUCUUAGUUACAAAAACCUUUCAGGCAGCUUUCACUCCAUAUUCAAUCUCCAUCGUCUUCAACGCCUUAAUCUUGCUGGAAACAACUUUAAUACCACUCUGUUUUCCUAUGGGUUUGAUAAACUCCAAAAUCUAACUCAUCUCAACCUUUCAAGCUCAUGUUUCCAUGGCCAAAUUCCAGUGGAGAUCUCAU